This 45944-nucleotide long non-coding RNA is filed under the name Gossypium barbadense (sea-island cotton). RNAcentral's name for it is "long non-coding RNA (GBAR_LNC010922)". The record is from RNAcentral. Lineage: Eukaryota; Viridiplantae; Streptophyta; Magnoliopsida; Malvales; Malvaceae.
UGUGAAGUAACAUCAUUUAAGAGACGAGCAAUAAUGGAAGAAGCAUCAAUGAUUUUAGGGUUGUUAGAUGCCCAAUUAAAAAUCUCAGGUGUCACAAAAUCUCCCAUUCCAACAAAAGAUGUGACGAUUAACAUGAUAUAACCAACAGAUACAACUGCGUUUCUCAUAUACUCCUUCAUUGUUGGAACAUAGUUUUCAUUACACCAUUUCGCCUCCACAAAAUAAGAUUCGGACAGUUGUUUAAAGUAUGAAAAGGGAAAAAUAAAAUAAAAUAAAAGGAAGUCAUUACCUUUAGGUCAUAAUAACACUUCAAAUUUAGAGUACAUAUGUAUCAGCUUUUGACAUCUAUUUUGUUUUACUUACUCAAUCCUACUGAUGGAAAAUACCAACCUCCAAAUUCCUUUCUUCUUGAGCAAGCACCAAAAACAACAAAGCCCCCCACCCCCCCUAAGAAAAGCCUUCCAUUACCUGAUUAAUAUAUCUAUAUAUCUUUGCUAAUUUUUCCAAUAAUAUAUAUGAACUGAAGUCAUAGAUAUGCUGAUCAUAUGUAUAUUUAUAUCAUACCUAUACUAAUAAUAAAAAAGUAAUAUAUAUCGAAAUUAUGUUUAAGCAAUCCUCCCCACUCUAUUACCAACCCCCAACUUUCUCCUACAUUUUGCUGUUAUUUCCUAUUAGAUAUUAAUGAUUUGACAUGAGUACUAGUUUUAGUUAUAGCCCCCUCGUGUGUGCACAAGAAUUUCAGGUCACUUCCACCAUAUAUUUCACACAAUUAUAACAUUUCCUCUUCCAUUUGUAGCUUUGUUGAGUGGGGCAUCCUACUUACUUCUCUUAUCACCACAACUCUUUCAUGUAUUUAAAUAAGUCGCAAACAUCACAUAAAUCAAUUAAAUUAAGUUGGAAUAUUAUAAAUAAAGAAAAAAAUGUUAGAAAAAAUUUGAGUCUUAUUUAAGGAUUCAAUUUAACUUAAUUUUGAAUUUAAUUAAAAUUUAAUGUGACUAUUAAACAAGAAAGAAUAUCAUAUCAAAAUAUAUUCAUGUAUGCACAUGCAGCUACAUAUAUUUAUGAUGGGAAAUGAUGUGGAUUUUCAAGCAGUUGGAUAGAAAUGGACGUGAGAGUAGAUUCAUGUGCAAAUGUUUGGGAGGUACUUGACAGACAUUUACAACCAGCUGCUAAUGUUGACAUUUCUCUUCCAUGUAUAAAGUUUUUGCCUGCCAUUUUAAUUAAAAGAAAAUACAGCUCCACUUAGUGCAAAACUGAAUCAAGCAACACAAACCCAGAUAAGAAACUUGAAUGAACUUAGAAUAUAACAUAGCAAAUAACAAAAAUAACCAGUCAAAUUGAAAUCUGAAGCAGAAAAGAAAUAUGCUUUUCCUUUGAACCCAAAAAUUAUCGAGGAGAUGAGCAGAGAAGAACUUACAGGUGUAAACGAAAAAGGCAAAAGGGGUUUUUUUUGGAUGUCGAAUUGGGGAAUUUUAGAGAUGAGCAGAUGAGCAGAGAUGAGCAGAGAAGAACUUACAGGUGAAUUUUAGAGAUUUCAAACUGGGGAAGAAGGGGUUUUUUUCGGAUGUCGAAUUGGGGAAAAACAAGUGAUAAUUCUUUAGGGAUUUGGGACUAAGGAAAAGAGGGGAAAUGAACUGGGGAGACUUUGACAAAAUUUCUAAGUGUUAUCGUGUGUAAAAAUGAAGACAACAAAACGACGAUGUUUUGACAAACAUAAUUUAACGUUUGCGGUGUUUUUGCAAUAGCGCCGCUAAAAGGGUAAGCUAUUGCGGCGUUUCAAAUAAACGCCACUAAUAAACUAACAAAACGACGACGAUUUGAUCUAAACAAAAUAAUAGUAGCGGCGUUUAUACACAAGCGCCGCUAAAUCCAAACCUAUUGCGGUGCUUCACAAAAAACGCCACUAAUAAAUCCUACAAAACAGCGCCAUUUUGUUUAAAACAUGAUGCUUUUUUGCGGCUUUUUUAUAAAAAACGCCGCUAUUGUAUACCUUUUGCAGCAUUUUUUAUAAACGCCACUAAUUCCUUUAAAAUUUAAAACUAUUUAAUAUAUAAUUUAAAAAUAAUAUAAAUUAAAAAAAAUCACUUAUAUACCAAAUAAACUUUAAAAUUAUUUUAAAUAAUAGUAUUUCAAAUUUUAAUUAAUUUUUUAACAUUAAUUAUCCUAAACCCUAAACCCAUAACCCAUGUCCCCUUAAUGCCUUAACCCUUAAAUCCCUAAAUCCAUAACCCCCAACUCAUAGCCCUUAGACUCUUAACCCCUAAACUUUAAACCCUAAACCAUGUACCCUUAACCCUUAACCCUUGGACCCUUAACUCCUAGACCCUUAACCUUUAACCCCUAAAUCAUAAACCCUAAAUCUCUAAACCUCAACCCUUGAACCAUAAAUCAUGAUCCCUAAGUCCAUAAUCCAUAAUCCAUAAACCUUGAGAUAUUAACUCAUAAACCAUAAACCCUUAAACUUUAAACCCUAAACCCAUAAUUCAUAAACCUUAAAAUAUUAACUCAUCAUAAACCCUAAACCCUAAACUAUAUACCCUAAACCAUAAACCUUAAACUAUAAUGAUAAGUAAUUCAAUAUUUUCAAAUUAAUAUUAUCCAUUUUAUGAUUAUAGAAUAAUUUAUUUAAUAUAUAAAUUGACAAACAAUCAGUCAUAUAACAAAAAAGCUUUAAAAUUAUUUUAAAUGAUAGUAUUUUAAUUUUUCAUUUUUAACAUAUAUUUUUAUAUGUUUUUAUUUUCAAAUUUUUUCUACGUGUCAUUAUUUUUUCCCGAAGAAGUUAAAUAUUCAAUUAAAAAUAAUUUAAUUAAUAUAAAAAACCAAUAAAAUAUUUUUGUGGCGCUUUUUGAAAAAACGCCGCUAUAAAUAGAGCAAUAGCGGUGUUUUUCAAAAAGCUCCGCUAUAGAUCUGAGCAUUAGCGACGUUUUUCUUAAAGCGCCGCUAUAGAUCUGAGCAUUAGCGGCGCUUUUGGCAAAACGCCGCUAAUAACACUAAAGGUCAACGUUAAACGAUGACGUCCUGCUUUACUUUUUGCGGCGUUUUUUUGCAAACGCCGCUAAUGCUCGAUUUGUAGCGGCGUUUUUUUAAAGCGCCGCUAAUGCUCGAUCUUUAGCGGCCUUUUUACUUCAAACACAGCUAAAAACACUGCGAAAAACCUGUUUUGCUGUAGUGUGGGUAUAAUAAAUAUGACAUUUCAACAGUAUAGAUGGAAUAAUACCUCAACUUUAAUAAUAUUUCCCAAAUAGGAAAGGAAAAAUCGAGUAUUCCCAAUAACCAGUGUCGUGAUACAUUUUCUAUAAUCUCUGAUCCAUAUUACCAAAUUCCCAUGUUCAAGUCAGGAUUUACAACAGUAGUAAGUAUAAUUACCAUUAAUCAAUGAAUAUCUUUUUUAGUCAAACCAUAAAAUGACAAGAAAACUGAGAUAACAAAAUCCAAGUUGCAAAACUAUACCAAAUUUUCGAGAAGAUAAUCCAUAUUGAAUAAUAUAAAGAUUGAUAACUUCUCAAAGAAAGUCCAGAAGAAUAACAUUGCACAUUCGCCUUUCAGAGUUUUCACCAACAGAAAUAGAAGAUAAUAUCAUAUGAAUCUUAGUAUAAAAUGUUCUAUCACAUAUAUUGACUUGGAAAACCAAAGAAAGAUAAAGUAAUGCCAUUUGUGAAUUAAUCAGACUUGCGACAAUUUCUGUCUGUUAGCAUAUUUAUCUAACCUUUUCCAUAUAAUGAUUUUAGCAUCCAAUCAUGAACAGUUGCAUAUACUUCUGAAAAUAUCAAUACAUAUAAGACACCCAUAUAAAAUCCCAAAAAUUUACUAUAAUGUACUCAAUUAUAACAGCUAUAUUCAAAUAUUUUUGCAAUUUAUUCACCAAUCCAUUGACUAGUAUAGUCAUCAAUAAUUUUCACAUCAUUUAGUUCACUCAGAAGAAAUUUUUAGUUAACCAUUGUGUAAAUACCAUAUCUGAAUAAAUCAAUUUUCCUAUAGAUAAGUUCUUUCUUUAGCAGUGGUACUGUAUAUUCCAAGUAGUUUUCAGAACAAUCUAAUGUCUCUAUUCAGAACCCAUCUUUACUUAUUAACUCAUUCUCAGUUCUAACUGCAUUAUUAGUUGCUCAUUUAUUGAACUUUUUCACUUUCACACUUCUGAACUUAAUCAAUAUAAAUCUCAUGAAUUUCAUUGCAUAUAACCGUACUGGUAAGGGGGUAGAUAUCGUAAAGUCUCAUAAUUUAAUUUUUCAUGUAUUUACUAAUAUAACAUAAUAUUUACCAUUUUCAAGUACUAAUAAACAUUUAUCUGUAUCUUUACAAGUUCUGUUUCAUUGUAAUCAACAUUUUUACUCAGAGACAAUCCUUUACCUUGUAACAAAAAUUAUUAUUAUUUAUUUAGCAGAGGCCCAGUAGACUAGAUAAUGCUUUUACAUGCUUUACAAUUUAAUAUUUGUACCAAUAAUUCGUACAUUUAUAUCUUCUGUAUCUUUAAUACGUGUAAUAUAUUUUAAAAUUCACUAUUCAUCCAUAAUUAACAAAUAAUCCUUAUCAUGUACUUCAUAUAUAUAUUUAUAUAUAGAUAAAUCACAGGAAAAGAAUUUCUCGAUAUAUGAUUUUGAAUUGGCAAUUAUUAUAGUUGCAUCAGGAAUUUGGCAACAUUAUCUAUUUAGUGAAAGACGCUAUAUAAGUACUGAUUACAAAAGUUUAAUACAAAAGUUUAAAGUAUCUGAUGUUACAGAAAGAUUUGAGUUUGAGACAGUGUGGGUUGUGAGCUGCUGAAAGAAUAUGAUGUGGUAAUUGAUCAUUAUUUGGGAAAAACAAUUGUAAUUGCUGAUACUCUGAGUAUAAGAUUUCUGUUUGUCUUAUAAGCAAAGGACACCCGAUUGCAAUUGUCUAAUAAUAGUACAAUCUUAAUAGAACUUAAAGCUAAACCAAUGUUUAUACAACAGAUCUGUGAAACUCAGAGAUGUAAUAAUGAGUUGCAAGUUAAAUGAGUACAAAGUGGGUCAACUUCUAAUUCAGGAUUUCAGAUUAGAUCUGAUGAUUGUCUAUUAUUCUAAGACAAAACUUGUAUACUGAAAAAUAAAGGUAGCUUUAGUAAAAAAAUUUCUGAUAAUGACAUGAUACAAAAGAAGCUACCUAAGAAUAAAAGAAAACUACAGAAAGUAAUAUCUUAAAUUUUUUUUAUUGCUAAGAUUUUCAAGGACAAAAAUUCUUUAAUGGGGAGAGAAAUGUAAUACCCAAAAAAUUUCUAUAGUAAGAUAUUGUCCUUGCUAUAGAAAAAUAAGGAAAUAAGUGACAAAAAAGGGAAGUUUUGAGUUAUGACAACAUUGGGAAAUAAAUUAUGAUAUCUUGAUUUAGGAAAGGACUAAAUUGCAAAAGUGUGAAAAAUUUUGUUGUAUAAGAGUAAAUACUUAAAAAUUGAGGGGUUAAAGUGUAAAUAUGAAAAAAGUUGAAUGGUCAAUAGUGUAAAUAUUUUAAGGGUGGAAUGAUCUAGAAAUUAAGGAAAAUGGAUGAAUUAGGACCAAAUUGAAUAAGUGAAGAAUUAUGAGGGACUAAAUUGCAAUUUUACCAAAUUAAAUGAUGACUCAAGGAUGGAAUUUUAAAAGAUAAUAAAGGGAAAAAUGGUCAAUUGGAAGAGAGAGAAAUCUAGAAAGUAAUGAUGAUGUUGAUGAUAUUUUAUAAUUAUUUAAUUAAGAUAAACAUUAUUUUAAUAUUUUAAUAAGAUGUUUUAUUAUUUAUUAUUAUUUUAUUAUUAAAUUAUUUAAUAUAUAUGGAAGGAAAUAUGAAGAAUUUCUAUCAUCUUUCCAUCCAUGCAUUCAUGUUAGAAGAAAAGAGAAGAAAGAAAGUUUUCUUUUCUUUACAAUUUGGUCCUUCCACAAAAAAUCCACCAUUUUCACUUAGAAAUCAAAAGAAUUUUCUUAGCUAUCAAGAGAGAAAGAUGACAAGGAGACAAUGAGGAGCUAGAAUAUCAAGUUAGAUUCAAGAAAUAGAAGCUGGAGGAGAGUGAAAAUCAAGUUAAAGAUUGAAAUCAAUGAGACAAGGUAAGAACAUCAAGAUUUCAAUAUAUUUUUAAAUUUGACACUAUUGAAAAAGCAUGGAAAUGAUGUUAAUGUAGAGUUUUCUUAUAUAAGGUUUUAUGUUCUUAAUAUGUUAGUGAAUAGAAAGUAAUGAGAAAUAGUGUAGAGAAAGAAAAUAAGGGUGUUAUAAACAUGGUAAAUAAACAUCUUGCACUAAAACAGUUUUGGACAUCGCAGUAGGCUAACUUUGAAAAAUCACCAUAAAUUGUGGAAAUCGAAUUAGAGGAUGAAUAAAUUAUGGAAUUAAAUAUUAUUGAGUCUAGUUUCUUAUAGAACAAAUGUUAUAAGAAAUGGAAUUGUGGAUUAUGAGAUAUAAUAAAUUUUGUUACACAAGGUCAGAAUGAUUUUUGGUUCAUGGUAUUUCUACAAUUUAGUCAGGUAGGUUCGUAUAACUUGAAUGGGCAUGUAAAUAUGUCAAUUUAAAUAUUGUAUUGUAUUUUAUAUGAUGUUUGAAUUGAAUAUAUGAAAUGUAUGAAUGUUGAAACGAAAGAAAUAAUACAUGUUCUGAAACUACUUGAAAGGGAUAAAAUCUAUUUGAACAUUGGGUUCCGGGCGGAUAUAGGUGAUUUCCCAAAUGAAAGAGUUCUUGCAUGUGUUGCAGAAAUAGAUAAUCCUGACGGUUAAUCUGACAAAAGCCUUCUUGAGAAUAUAAAGUGAAUAGGAUUUGUUCCUGAUUCACUAUAAUACCUCAAAGUGGAUAGGAUUUGUUCCUGAUUCACUAUGGUAAUUUAAAGUGAAUAGGAUUUAUUCCUGAUUCACUACGGUAACUUAAGGCGGAUAAGAUUUGACCUGAAAAGGUAAUCCUAAUUCGCUACGGUUACAUGAUAUAUGAUUCAUUAUGGUAACCUAAGGUUGGUAGGAUUUGACCUGAAAAGGUAAUCUUGAUUUGCUACGGUUACACGAUAUAUGAUUCCUUAUGAUAACUUAAGGUGGGUAGGAUUUGACCUGAAAAGGUAAUCCUGAUUCACUACUGUUACAUGAGAUGUAACUUGAGAGAGUGCUUGAUAAUUAAACUGUUGAAACCAUUUUUAAAUCGGGUUUUGAAAAAUGGAAAUCGACUUUAAGAAAACUGAAAACGGGAGUCGCCACCAACCUUUUUAAGUGUGAUUGGAUCACCAAUAAAUCAUUUUGUUUAAAAUCAUUAGUUUUGGUCUACGAAAUCAAGAAAAUGGGUUUGGGAGUCGGUUACGAACGAGGAAGGAUUAGCACCCUCGUAACGCCCAAAAAUUGGUACCUAAUUGAUUAUCAAGUGUCUUUAAGGUCGGAAAUUUGAAAGUUUUAAGAUACAAUCCUUUUUUUAUUUAGAAUGUUUUGAUUGAAAAAUUUAGGCUCGCUUAUUUCAAACGAGUCAAAAUAUCACAUCCAGUAAGUUAAGAAGCAAUAUUUUAAAACUUUUGAAGCUAAGCUUGUCUUUUGGAAAUUUCUAUUUCGAAACAACAAAACGCCAUAUCCAGUGAAUUAAGACACAAUGCUUUGAAAUCUCGAAAAUAGUUGUUUAUAUUUUAAAAACUCAAAACGUUUAGAAGGGUACUUGAAUGUUCGAAUUCGAUGAGAAAAAUCGCAACCCAGUAAGUUAGGGCACUAUUUUCCCGAAGCUUCCAAACAUUAAGUAUUGCCUUUAUAUUUUGGAAAACUUUUUAGUAAUUUGGUAAAAAUGAAUUUCUUUAUUUAAAACGUUGACUCAUGCAAAAGAAUGGCGUUAAUACAUAUCACAAGACAAAUAUACCAAAGGUAAUAAAUUACAACAUAUUACAAUUCAUAAUAAUAUAGGCAAAUAAGAAAUAACCUAAAAUAAUGAAAUAUACACAUCAUAAGAUGAUUAUGCUAAAAGAUAAACCUAUAUACAAUGUUAGUAAAUAAAAAUACAAAACAAUUCAUAAUAAAUUAAAGAAUAUAAAAAUAGAAGUGGAAAUCAAAAUUUAUAAUGUAAAAAGUGACAAAAUAACACUUAAAAAAACAAAUACGAAUUAAAACACCAAAUCAAUAUUGAUAAAAAGGUAAAAAUAAUAAUAAUAUUUAAAAAAUAUAUAUGUAUAUAAUAAUUAACAUAUUUAAAUGAGUAAUAUAUGUAAAAAAAAUUUAAAAGAAAAGAAUAUAAUAAUAUAUAACAAUUUAAUAUACAUAGGAAAAUAUUUUAAAAAAAUAUAUAAAAAACUUUUAUUAUUAAAACAAUUAAAAAUAUUAUACGUGUUAAAUAUUUUAAAUAAAUAAUAUAAAACAUUAAAAUUUUUUAAGAGAAUAAAAAUAUAUAAUAGAUAAUAUUUAAAAAAAAAGGAUUAUAUGCACAAAAAAAAUAUAUAAAAUCUUUAAAUCCAUUUAACAUAUGAUAUAAUAUACAUAAUUUUAAAACAAUUUAUAAUAGAUACAAAAUAUAUAAAAAUAUGUAAUAAAUAAUUUUUAAUAAAAAAAGAAGAUGAAAUAUAUACACAAUAUAAUAAUAUAAUAAAUAAUACAAAUUUAAAAUAUAAUACUUAAUAAUAAUUUCAAAAUAGCAUUUACUAAAUAAUAUAAUAAUAAAACUAAUAUAUAUAAGGAUUAAUAUAUAAUAAAUAACAGGUGAAAAUAAUUGUAUAAUUAUAUAAUAAAAUAUAUAGGUUUAGAAUAAAACAAAUAAUAUAUAAUAUAAAAUUAAUAAAAAAAACACAUAGGAUUAAAUUUAAAAUUUUAUAAAAUUACAAGGGCGAAAUUUAAAAAAAAUUAGGGACCCCAAAGAAACGCACGCAAAAUGUGAGGGACUCAUAGGGUAAUUAAACCAUCCUCUUUAAAACGACGUCGUUCCUGGGAUAAACCUUAAAGAAGCUGUUAGGACUAAAUUGAAACAAGCAUAAAAUAUUAGGACCAAAUUAUAAAUACGAAGGGAUCAAUUGCACAAAUAACCCUUUUGUCAGAAACACGCGGAUCCUUCCCGGGUCACUGGUCAACGCGCGGAUCUUAGGCCUUGAAACGACACCGUUUUGGUCACUAAACGGUCACCCCAAAACGACGUCGCACCCUUCUCCUAUAUAAUUUGAACUUCAGCUUCAAAAAAACAUUUUAACCCCCUAAAAAAAAACCUUCUGAAAUUUCCCUAGUCCUCUGAGCUCCAACCCUGGGCCGGUCUGCUCUGUUCAUCGGACCUCCGUGUUCAGCCCCAUGCGCAUCACCAACUCCGUCACACAAGGCGGUCGGGAUCCGAAAAGCUUCGCUUUUCGCUACGAAUCUAAAGGCACUUCUUUCUCCUCUAUUUUUCAAUGUAUUAUAUGCAUGAACUUGUGAUAAAGAGAAUGAAACAGAAAUAAAAAAAAUAUAUCACCUUCGUUUCCUGUAAAAAUCUCUGGUGUAUUAUUGCAAAAAUAUUCUGUGUACAGUAUUUUGGUAUAUCUCUCUAGUGUUUUUUUUUCUCUAUGCGUGUGUAAGUUUUUUUCUCGUCUCCUUUCUACAGAUUGAAAAGAAGGCUUUAUAGCCUCGAUAAACCACUACAAGUUUUGGAAAGAAAUCUUUGAUUUCUUUUCGUAUUCGCUUCGCAUGUUUGCUGUGAUUUUCUUUCCUUUUCUUGCAGGUGAAUCGUAAGGAUUUCGUUCGAACACCAAUGACUGCACGCUGAUGGGGCCAGUGCUGGAUUGUAGCGUAUGACAAUUCUGGAAUGAUUCGCACGUCAAUGGUGGCGCGAUGCAUGGUGGCGAAGUCAAGGAGUCACGGCGCAUUGAUGAAGGCGACGAUUAGGCCAUUGGACCUGAAAAGUCGUGACAUUUGGAACCUCGAAGCAUCUAGAAUCCCCCCUUUGCGGCGCCUAACUUCUCAGGAAACCCUAGGGUUUCCUGAUCCGUUUACUACUUUGGGCCUUUUGGGCCCCGUGUAUCCUUGGGUCAAGGAUAUUGGAUCAUCCGGUGUAGAUGGGUCUGAGUGUUUAAAUCUGGGCUUGGGUGUAAUGGGUUGCCGGGUCUGAAGCUUAAAUGUUUGGGCCGUAACUGUUUGGGCUCUAUAAUGGGUUAUGGGGUUAAGUGUUUUUUUGGCUUUGUACACGGACUUUUAAAAUAAAUAUUUAUUUAUUCAUUUAUUAUUUUUGGUUUUAAGGCCCGAGUAGAUUUGGGCUAUUACAUAAACGUCCUAAGGGUUAUUUCUGAAUAUGAAUUGAUGGAAUAUGGAAAUGUACGCUUUGAGUGUAUUGUUGAAAAAUCCAUCGAAACUCCAAUGAUUCAACAGAUAGAAUAUUUGAUAUGAUACAAGAAUUAUAAUAUGAAAAGGAUGUUACAUGAAACAUGAAAAUGAAUACUAAAUGAUAUAAAUUAAUUGAAAUUAUUCUAAAAAUUUUGGUAAUGCCUUGUAUCCUAUCUCGGUCUCGGGUACAGGUAUGGGGUGUUAAAUGAUAGUAAUUCUGUAUGUUGGAAACACUACGAAAUGAGAUGAAUUGGUGUGAGGCAAAGAGCUCCUAUGUUGAAGUAUUUAUAGAACUUUCUCAGUAUGUGAAAAUCUUAUAUUUACAUAUACAUCUAUAAAUUGAACAGCAGGGUUCCGUAAAAAUAAAAAUAAAAAUUAUUAAAUUAUUAAAAAUAAAGAUAUUAAAAAUGAAUUAUUUGUUGACUUGACAUCCAAGUGUAUAUCCACGUCAGCAAAGUUAAUAUUUGUUAACUUUUCUAUCUAUUUUGGGGUGAUUUGAUAGAAAAAAUGUAAAUUUGAGGGUUAAAAAGAGGCAAAAAAUUAAAUGGAGGACUAAAAAGACUUUUUUUAAUGUUGGAGGGGUAAAUAAAUCAUUAUACCAAAUUAAUUCAAUCAAUCAAAAAUAUAACUAAACUAUAAACAAAACAAAUUUGAUAUGAAAUUGAAUCAAGUGAAGUGAUAAUAUUUUGUAUUCAAGUUUUAAGUUGACAUUAACAUUGUUUUUAGUAUAUGAGGAUGUGGGGUCGAGUGAGUUGAAACGUGUUAUCAUCCUUUUCAAGGGUUGGGAAGAGAUUAUGGGUAGUUCUAGGCAUUGUGUCAAAAAUGAAAUUAAAUUAUAAAUAAACAAUGCUAAAAUAUUAAAUAUCUAUAUAAUCAUCAUUUAAAUUUCAUUAUUAAGAAACGUUGUAAAACUAUGUAAAAAUUAGGCAUAAUGAUUUUUUUGCCCUCCAACUUUAUAAAAAAAUCAUUUUGGCCCUUUUAUUUAAUUUUUCGUCUAUUUUAACCAUUGAGCAUGAUUUUUUGUCAAAUUAACCUAAAAUGAAUGGACAAGUUAACAUUUGUUAACUUUGCUGAUAUGACAUAUACGUGGAUGACAUGUCAACACUUAAUUAAUUUUUUAAAAUUUAAAAAUUGUCGAGACCAUUUUUAAAUCGAGUUUUGGAAAAUAGGAAUCACUUUAAGAAAAACGAAAACGGGAGUCGCCACCAAUCUUUUGUAGGUGUGAUUGGGUCACCUUAUAAAAUGUUUUGUUUUAAAACAUUAAUUUUGGUCUACGUAAGUUGAGAAAACGGAUUCGGGAGUCGGUUACGUACGAGGAAGGGUUAGCAACAUCGUAACGCCUAAAAAAAAUUGGUACCUAGUUGAUUAUCAAGCGUCUUUAAUGUCGGAAAUUUUGAAAGUUGUAAGAUAAAAUCCUCUUUUGAAUAUUUUAAUUUUGAAAAUUACAGUUCACUUGUAUCAAAUGAAUCAAAAUAUUACAUCCAAUAAGUUAGGAAGUAAUAUUUUUAAGUCAUUCGAAACUAAGCUAGCCCUCCUUAAAAAUCCCUAUCUCGAAACGACAAAACGCCAUAUCCUGUAAGUUAGGAUACAAUGCUUUGAAAUUCCAAGGCAGUUGCUCAUAUUUUAAAAAAUCGAAAACUUAGAAGGGUGCUUGAUUAUUCUUACACAGCGAGAAAAGUUGCAACCCAGUAAGUUAGGGCACUACUUUUCAUGAAGCUUCCAAACACCAAACGUUGCCUUUUUGUUUUUGAAAACUUUAGAAUCUUGUUUUUGAUUAAUGCAUGAGGGAUCAUAUUAACAUUAUGGAAUAACAUACAAGAUUGCAUAUUAUCAUAAUAGGUUUGUAAAAGUAUGAAUUUAAACAUAUCUUAAACAACAAACAUGGCACAUUUAAAACAUGUAAAACAUACACACAAAAGACAUUUGACAUACAUUAAAAAUGAAUAAGUGAGCAUAUAUAUAUAAGGUAUAACUCUAUAUACAUUUUAAUAAAUUAACAGACAAAAGAUGAUACAUGGCAUACAAUUUAACAUAAACAUAUCAACAUACAUAUCAAUUCUAAAAUACAACCUUUAAUAAUCAUAAAACAGUAUUUAAUAUAUAUGUGUGAAAGAAUUAAUGUAUAUUAAAAUGUAAUAUAAGGUAAGUAAUUAUUGAUAAAAUAUACCUAAAAUAUAAAUUAAAAAAAUGCUUAAAAUAAGUUAUGUAUAAUAAUAUAAUAUGAAUAAAAUAAGGAAAUAUAAAAUAAUAAUAAUAAUAUAAUAAGUAUUUUGCAUAUAAAAGUAUGGUAGCAUAAUUAGAAAAAAAAAGGAUAUAUACAUAAUAAAAUAUAUGUAAAAGAAUAUAUAAGAAAAAUAAAUAUUAUAAGGAAUAUUAUAUAAUAAAAUAUAGUAUGUAAUAAAAUAUAAAUAAUUAUAAUGAAAUAUAAUAUGGUAUACAUAUAAUAAUAGUAAUAAUGUAACAAAUAAAUAAUAAAAUAAAAAAUACAACAUAUAAUGAAAUUUAUGAAUGUAUAUAUAAUGCUAAAAAUAAUAAAAAUAAAACAAUAUAUUAUUAAAUAUAACUAACAUUUUAAAUAUAUAUAUAUAAAAAUAUAAAAUAAAAAGGACUAAAAUUGGAUUCAAUUAAGAAAUUUGGGGGUUAAUUCGCAAAAAAAUAAAAAAUUUUGGGCCUGAUUGAAAUACGCAUUAAAAUAGAGGGACUCACUGGGCUAUUUGCCCUAAUCCCAAAACGACACCAUUUCCCCUAAUACGGUUUUAAAUCACUGUGAGGGCCAAAUUGAAGCAGAAUUAAAACAUUAAAGUUAAAUUAGAAAAUAAAUAAAAUGAAAUUAAAAAUAUAAAAAAUACGAGAGGACCAAUUGGGCAAUUAACCCAUUUUAUAAAAAACACGCGGAUCCUCCCCGGGUAAUCGGGUCAACAUGCGGAUCCUCAGGUCUUAAAACGAAGUCGUUUUUUAAGCUUAUUGACUUAAGCCAAAACGGCACCGUUUCUUUUAGGCUAUAUAAACCAAAUUUUAAGCUUAAAAAUUAUUUUUACACCGGUAAAAAAAAAACUUAAAGAAAUCCUCUGCAGGAGGAUUCGGGGUUGUCCUCAGAACCUCGUUGGGCCCCCGUUCUCAGGCGCCUAUGCCCACACGCCACCGCGAGGACCACCACGCACGAUGAUCGAAGGGUUAAAAACCCUCGUCCUUUCUUGCGAAUUACAGGUGACUCUCUUCCUCUUAAUAUUUUCGUAGUUUUUUUUUAAAUGCUUCGUAUACCAAUCAGAAAAUAAUUAACAAAAUAUGAAAUAUAAAUCACCUUAAGAAACUAUUUGCAAUCUAAAUGUAUUCGUAUGUCUACUGCUUUUAUUUUCUAAAAAAAAAAUCUGAUCCUUUACAUCGUAUUUGAUUCAGGAUUUUAUAGCCACUAUUUACAAUAUACUUUGGGAAGAAAUCUUUUAUUUCUUCCCAUUUUUGUUUGUUUGCUGCUGUUUCUUUCUCUUUUGCAGAUAUUCGCGAGAAAAAUCCGGAAAUGAUUGUGCUGGACGCAGAUCUGCCGGUGGCGUUGAUCACGGCGUGACCUGGAGCCUAGAAUUGUGGCUUUGAUGGAGGGUAGCUGGAACGACAGAAACCGAAGGAGAUUGACGUUUUGUUUGGCUUCUGGAAUUUUCUAUUUACGGCGCCUAGGGUUCCAAAAAAACCUAGGUCUCCCCUCAUCUGUUAACACAUUUGGGCCUCAUGGGCCCCGAGUGUAAUGGGUCUACUGGGCUUAAGCUAAAACCGGGUGUAAGCAGUUAGGUAAAAUGUAAACGGGUAGUGGGUUUAGGUAUUUGGGCUGCUGGGUUAUGUAUUAUUUUUUUGUUUUGGGCUCUGUAUAUAGACUGUUUAAAUAAAUAAACAUUUAUUUAUUUAUUUUUUAAGGCCUGGGCAGAUUUGGGCUAUUACAGCUGCCCCUCUUUGCUCAUUGCUAUAUAUAAUAGAAAUCGAGCAAAAACUAUAAAAGGACCAAAUUUGCCCGGCCUUAUCGAAUCAUGGUCUUCAAGAUGCUCAUUGCAAACUCAAAACUGUCAUGCUGAUAUCUUCGAUCUGUUCUCCGUCGAACACAGAGAUGCCAAAUAUGCUUCUUCAAUUUGUUCUCUGACAACACAGAGAUGCCAAACCAUCUUAGAUUUGCUUCAGCAUAAACAUGUGAAAACCAAAUCUGCUGUGUUUUCGAUUUGCUCCUUGUGAACACAAGGAUGCCAAAUCAUCUUGUAUCUGCUUCAGUAAAAUCAUCUGAAGGUUAGAUCUGCUAUGUAUCAGCUCUCGUCGAAAUGGAGAUGCCAGAUCUGUUAUCUUGGAUCUGCUUUGGUGUGAGAACAUCCAAAAGUCAAAUCUGCUAUGUCUUUGAUUUGUUCCUUGUAAAUACAAGAAUGCCAAAUCAUCUUGGAUUUGCUUCAGUAUAAACAUCUGAAGGCUAGAUUUGCUAUCUAUCUAUUCUCUGUCAAAAUGGAGAUGCCAGAUCUAUUAUCUUGGAUCUGCUUUGGUGUGAGAACAUCCAAAAGUUAAAUCUACUAUGUCUUCGAUUUGUUCCUUGUAAACACAAGAAUGCCAAAUCAUCUUGGAUCUGCUUCAGUAUAAACAUCUGAAGGUUAGAUUUUCUAUGUAUCUGCUCUCCGUCGAAAUGGAGAUGCCAGAUCUGUUAUCUUGGAUCUGCUUUGGUGUGAGAACAUCCGAAAGUCAAAUCUGCUAUGUCUUCAAUUUGCUCCUCGUCGAAGAUAGAAAAGCCAAAUCUUGUUAUUUUGGACCUGCUUCAGUGUAAACACAUGAAGGCCAGAUCUGCUAUGCUUUGGUCUGUUACCCUAUCGCUUAGGGGGUUAAGGCACCUCAUCCCAGACCUACAUUGCCUUUAGAAUGCAUAUGUGCUUAUGCUUGAUGAUUAGGAUGCUAUAAUCGAAGUGAGUCACAUGCUCCUAAUUAGACAUGUUAUGAUUCAAAAAUGUUAUGAAUAUGACUCCUAUUUUAGACGUCACCACUCAUUCCUUCGUUUAUCCUUACUUCUCUCAAAGUAUUAUUCCUGCUCAGCCUAUAGGCCUGUACCACUCUUCAAAUGCUACGACUCACUGAGAAUAUUUGUAAGAUGAUCUUUUCUUAGAAUCGAAUCAUUUGAUUUGUCCAAUCAUCAUUUCGUACUGGAAGAAAGAAAUUCCUCAAGUUCUUUCAACCCUCACUUACGUGAAUUUCUCGAACAAUUGUCCUAUUUUAUUUUCCUAUGUCCUCUAGAAAUUUCCAGAGUAAUGCGCAAAAUUUCAGUUGUGAAAAUUGUUUAGUUCAUCUAUCACUAUUUCAAUGCAACAUACUUUAAGAAUAAUAGAAGAUGAAUUAAUUUUGAGAAUAACUAAAUUUGAAUGAAUUUGUCAAAAAUACAAGGGAAAAUAAUCUGAAAGCCUAUCUUUGAGAAGAAAUAGAAUCUAAAGAUAGCAAACAGGACAAAUGUUAAAUGCUCUAGAUAUCGCCGCCUGAACGUCUAUACACUAGCUCGAUGAAGUCUUUCUUGAAUUCAACAUGUGUUUAAAAGAUCCAAAGUACUUUUUUGAUGCCCCGAUAUGCAAUGCGCUUCACUCUUCGUUGAAUCAGAUAUAGCAAGAUUACUGUGUGUUCUUCAAAGUUUGAGCUGCCCUUUCGGGUUUUCAACUCAAAACCCCUUUGGUCUCAAGGCGCCCUUUGCGGGUUUUCACCUUGGCCUCUCCAUUUUUUUUUAAAAACUCAAGGCGCCAUUUGCGGGUUUUCACCCUGAAUGCUUCUCCUUUAUACAAAGUACUUUUUGACUGAGUCUGAAUUCACUGGAUUAUGCAAACUCUUCCCAUCUAUUUCUGCUAAGAUCAAUGAACCCCAAGAGAAAGCCUUUUUCACGACAUACGGCCCUUCCCAAUUCGGCAUACAUUUUCCUCUAAAGUUCUUCUGAAUGGGAAGGAUCUUUUUCAACACAAGAUUCCCCUCACGGAAUUCUCUUGGUCGCACUUUCUUGUCAUAAGCCCGCAUCAUUUGCUUCUGAUACAUCUGACCAUGACGAAUAGCCCUUAGCCUCUCUUCUUCGAUCAAGUUCGACUGAUCAUAUCGUGAUUGUAUCCAUUCAGCCUCAUCCAACUUUAUUUCUGACAAGACUCAGAGAGACGGUAUCUCUACUUCAAUGGGUAACACUGCUUCCAUCCCAUAAACCAAUGAAAAGGGAGUUGCCCCUGUAGAAGUUCUAACGGACGUUCGAUAAACUAAGAGUGCAAAUGGUAACUUCUCAUGCCAAUCUUUAUAAGUCUCAGUCAUCUUCCCCACUAUCCUCUUAAUGUUCUUGUUGGCUGCUUCUACUGCCCCAUUCAUUUUUGGGCGAUACGGAGAAGAGUUAUGAUGCUUAAUUUUGAACUGACUACAAACUUCUGCUAUCGUUCUGUUGUUCAAGUUCAAUGCAUUGUCUGAUAUGAUUCUUUCAGGCAUCCCAUAUCGACAAAUGAUCUAUUUCAAGAAUCGACUCACAGCCGACUUAGUAAUAUUUGCAUAAGAAGCGACCUCUACCCAUUUUGUGAAGUAGUCAAUGACCACGAAGAUAAACCGAUGUCAAUUCGAAGCUUUCGGUGAUAUUGGCCCAAUGACAUCCAUGCCUACAUGGAAAAGGGCCAUGGAGAAGUCAUGACAUGUAAAUGUGAAGGUGGUACAUGUAUCUUGUCUCCAUAAAUUUGACAUUUAUGGCAUUUCUUGGCGUAGUUGAUACAAUCCCCUUCCAUGGUAGACCAAUAAUAUCCAAACCUCAUGAUUUUCUAGCCAUCGUGAAACCAUUAGCGUGUGUCCCACAAACACCUUCGUGAACUUCUUCCAAAAUUAACUUAGCUUCCACGGCGUCAACACAUCUCAACAGUACUUGGUCCUUUCUUCUUUUGUACAAGAUGUCCCCGUCCAAAACAUAAUCGCAAGGUAAUCUCCUUAAAGUUCGUUUAUCAUUUUCAGUUGCUUGUUCUGGGUAUUUACGAUCUCUCACAUAUUGCAAUAUAUCCUGAUACCAAGGAUUAUCAUCCUUUUCCUCUUCCUCAAUGUUACAAUAAUGAGUUGGAGCCUCAAAGAUACUCAUCUGAAUGGGUCUCAUUUCUUCCUCUUUAUUCACUUUAAUCAUUGAAGCCAAAGUUGCUAGAGCAUCUGCCAUUUGGUUUUCGUCUCGUGGGAUAUAAUUGAAUGCGAUGUCAUCGAACUCCUCAAGUAACCCUAGAACUACCUUUUGAUAAUUAAUCAAUUUAGGAUCCCUUAUCUCUCAUUCUCCUCUAAGCUGGUAAAUUAGCAAUGCAGAGUCUCCAUAUACUCCCAAGGUUCUUAUUCCUCACUCUAUAGCCGCUCGGAGUCCCAUGAUGUAUGCUUCAUACUCGGCUAUAUUGUUUGUGCAAUCAAAAUCUAGCUUGCAUGUGAAUGGAUAACAAUCACCAUUUGGGGAUUCCAGGACUGCCCCAAUUCCAUUUCCCACUCAUUAGAUGCCCCAUCAAAGCUCAACUUCCAAGGAUGAUCCUCUGUAGCUGUUACACACAUCAACUCCUCAUUUGGGAAAUCAAAAUUCAAUGGCUCGUAGUCUUCUAGCGCUUUGCUAGCUACGAAUUCUGCUAUCACGCUUCCUUUUAUAGCCUUUUGACUCACAUAGACUAUAUCAAAUUCUGAAAGUAGUAUUUUCCAUCUCGCCAUUCUCCCAUUCAACGCUGCUGACUCCAUCAUAUAUUUCAAAGGAUCAAGUUUUGAAAUAAGCCAAGUAGUAUGAUAUAGCAUAUACUGUCUUAACCUCCGAGUUGUCCAAAUCAGAGUGCAACACAAUUUUUCGAUAGGCGAGUAUCUCAUUUCACAUUGAGUGAAUUUUUUACUGAGGUAAUAUAUCGCCUUCUCCUUCCUUCCUGACUCAUCAUGUUGGCCAAGCACACAUUCCAUGGAAUUGCUGAAUACUGAGAAGUACAGUAUUAGUGGUCUAUCUGGACUGGGCGGAGAUAAUACCGGAGCAUUCAACAAGUACUAUUUGACCUUUUCAAAAGUGUUUUGGCAUUCCUCAUCCCAAGUACCUUGGUUGUGCUUUCUAAGGAGGCGAAAGAUAGGAUCACACUUCUCAGUUAGUUGUGAAAUAAAUCGAGCAAUGUAAUUCAGUCUUCCUAGGAAUCCUCGAACUUUCCUCUGAGUUUGUGGUGGAGGUAAUUCUCGUAUGGCUCUGACCUUGUCUGAGUCAACUUCAAUUCCCUUUUCAUUGACUACAAAGCCUAAUAAAUUUCCCGAUCUAGUUCCAAAGGUACACUUUGCUGGAUUGAGCUUCAACUGAAACUUUCUCAAUCUCAAAAACAAUCUUCUCAAGACUUCAAUGUGCUCUUUCUCUGUUCGCGACUUGGCAAUCAUAUCAUCAACAUACUCCUCAAUAUCCUUAUGUAUCAUGUCGUGGAACAAGUUCACCAUGGCCCGCUGGUAUGUUGGCCCCACAUUCUUCAAUCCAAAUGGCAUUACUUUAUAGCAGAAGGUACCCCACAAGGUUAUGAAGGUAGUUUUAUCCAUGUCCUCUGGAUGCAUUUUUAUCUGAUUGUACCCUGAGAAACCAUCAAUGAAAGAGAACAACGAAUAUCCUGCUGUGUUGUCUACUAAAGUGUCGAUGUGUGGCAAAGGAAAAUUAUCCUUUGAACUAGCUUUGUUAAGAUCUCUGUAAUCACGCAUAUUCGUACCUUCCCAUCCUUUUUAGGAACAGGCACAAUGUUAGCUACCCAUUCCGAAUACUUUACCUCUUGUAAGAAACCCGCAUCGAACUGCUUCUUAACUUCAUCCUUUAUUUUCAGAACAAUAUCUGGCCUCAUUCUCUGCAACUUCUGUUGGACAGGCUUACAAUCCUGUCUUAUUGGAAGACGAUGCACCACAAUAUCGGUAUUUAAUCCUGGCAUAUCCUGUUAGGACCAUACGAAGAUAUCCUUGAAUUCACGUAGCAACUCGAUCAGUCCUUGCCUUGUGUCAUUGGUAAUAAGUGUCCCAAUUUUCACCUCCUUCCCUUCAUCAAGGGCUACAUUAUCUGUUGCCUCCUUUUCAUAGGGCAUAAUUUGUUUCUCCUCUUAUUUUACCAUUCUUAACAGAUCUAGAGACAUAUCACAAUCCUGGACAUCUUCAAAAUCCUGAGAUUCUUCUAAACACAUGUUUUGCUCGCGAGAGAAAUCAGGAUUUGUAAUAUCAAUGCUCAUGUCAUUGAUAUCUAGGGGCCUGUAAAGGAUAAAGAAUAUACAAAGAAUGAAUGAAUUUAAGAAUGAUUAUUUAUGUACUAUGAAUGAAAGAAUAAGAAUUGCCAAAAUUUAAAGCAAUAUUGGUUGAUAAAAAUGAAACAAUACUCGUUCAAAUUGAUAAAAGUUAUGUUUUAUUUAAAUAAUAAUAGAUGAACAUAAGCCUAUUUUCACAAGUGUAAUCCUAUUACUCUUAGGCUCUAGAGUAACAAGAAUGUUUCGGGAAUUACUCUGAAGAAUUCCUAAAGACUACAGGAAAUUCCUCUACAGUCCAAUUGUUUAGAGAGCUUCCUGAUUCGUAAGGGCGAAUGCCCUCAAGGUUCCUUUACUCCGAUCCUUCGUCGUGUGCAGCAUUAAUCUGAUGACUCUCUUCUACAAGUAAUCCUCUUGAUAUGAAAGUUUUUGAUAUAGGAGGGAAUGUCAUCGAUUCCCACCCCACUUCUCUUUCAUCUAAACGCGCCAUUCUCCUUUCUUGGCGCUUCUCAAUGUCUUUCCUCCUUUGCUUAUAGUCUGGCUUGAAAUCCAAACCAAAGCAGUCUUUCUUCUCAAUCAACUUUGGGAUCUGAGUCCUUCCUUACAGAUAUUUUCCUAAACUUCUUCCUGGUAAAGCUCCCUUUCCUGCCAUCAUUUGUAGAGCCAUCAUUGUAGCUCUUGCUAUCCUUAGCACCGGUAGCUCACUCCUUUCUGAAAUGAAAGUCACAUUUACGAAUUAUAAAGAGCGAAAAGAACACUCAAUAGAUUCUUCAUUUGUCUCAACAUAAGGGGCCUUACUAGUGACUGCGGCUAUAAUGUUCUCUUCCGCAUUGAUGGUUAUUAACCAUCCAUCAGUCACUAAUUUCAAUUUCUGGUGCAACGACGAGGGCACCACUCCUGCUGAGUGUAUCCAUGGCCUGCCUAAUAAGCAAUUGUAGGAAGGCUUGAUAUCCAUUACCAAGAAAUCUACUUCAUACAUGUUCGACCCGAUUUCCAAGGGAAUGUUAAUUCUUCCCAUCACCUUCCUUUCUGUGCCGUCGAAGGCUCUUACCACAUUCUGACAUGUCUUCAUGUGAGAAUUGUCAAUGGGUAAUCUGUUUAAUAUAGACAAUGGUAGAACAUUCAAAGCCGAUUCAUUAUCAAUGAGUACGCUUGAGAGUGUGUACCCCUUGCAUCGAGUAGUAAUAUGCAAGGCCUUAGUUGACCCUCUACCCCCCGGUGGGAUUUCAUCAUCAUUAAAGUAGAUGAAAUUAUCCGUGCUAAUGUUGUUCACCAAUCGAUCCAUCUUAUUAACAGAUAGGUCAUGGGUGACAUAUGUUUCGUUAAGCACCUUCAUCAAUACUUCCCUAUGCGCCUCAGAACUUAAAAGUAGAGCCAAUACUGAUAUGCGAGCCGGUUGCUUACACAACUGCUCGACCACGCUAUACUCACUAUGUUUAAGGAACUUUAGAAAUUCCUUAGCCUCCUCCUCCUUUACUGGCUCAUUGAUGGGUACUUCGGUCUCUUUCUCCUUCUCAACCUCGACACCUUUUGUUUUUGUGGGCUCUAUUCUGAUGCCCCCCGUAUCAUAACGCUUCCCACUCCGCAUGUGGGAACCUUCCACUUGCACUUCUUUAGAUGCGCUGGCUAUAUUUUCUUCCUCCGGCACUGUCACACUACAAUCAUAAUUCCAUGGCACUCUCUUGCUAUCCUUGUAAGGGAAAGGAGUAGGUUUAUGGAUAAUGACCUUGGGCACUGCUGGUGUCCCCACUUCAUUAUUCCCUGGCAGGGAGAUAAUGAUCCUUGGCCGGCUGGUUCCUUUUUGUUCACCUUCCAGUGCACUUAUUUCUCUUUUAUAAGAGCUACCUUCAAAAAUUUGUAACUCUUUAUUAUCUAUAAAGCCUUGCACCAAGGCUCUGAAUUCUUCAUAAUUUUGGGUCUCAUGACCCUCUUUUCCAUGGAACUCACAGUAGUUCCCUGUUUUUUCUCUUUCUUUCCCAGAGGUUAUCAUCCCUCUCUUCAUCAUCUCUUCCCAAAUCACCUUUAAAGGCAUCCUCACCUCAGCAACAUUUUCCUUCAUCCUUCUUUCACUAGCAUCGCCAAUGGCAUUCACUCUUUGAUUGUCAUGAUUUGGCAAAGGGUUUUUAGUAUUUGGGGUACUAUCAAAUUUCACAACCUCCACAUUGAUCAACCUCUCUACGGCCUUCUUGAAUCCGGUACAAUUUUCAAUUGAGUGCCCUGAUAUUUCGGCGUGGUACUCACAUCUGGCAUUUCCAUCAUACCAUUUAGGAUAUGGAGGCUGUAACGGUUUCAAGUGGAAAGGAGCAAUAGCAUGUGCAUCGUAUAAGCUUUGAUAAAGCUCACAAUACGUCACAAGAAUAGGUGUGAAUUGCAUUCUUUCAUGCCUUGUGCCUGAUUCCUACCUUUGAGAACCCUGUUGCCCACCCGCAGCUACUUUGGGCUGACCAAUUAUGAUCGCCUUUGAAUUGAAGCUACUUGUGUUGUUUACCUCAUUGUCUUUUCUCUUUGGGGCUAAUCUUUUGGCCACUUCCCCCUCAAUUUUGCCCCCUCUUAUGGCGUUCUCAAUCAUCUCUCUUGCCAUGACUAUGUCUGCAAAACUUUUGGUAGUGCUCCUAAUCAUGUGAGUAAUGAAUGGAGUCUUCAGAGUGUUGAUAAACAACAUGGUGAUCUCCUUCUCUAAUAAUGAUGGAUGAACUUGCAUAGCAACCACUCUCCAUCUUUAAGCAUAUUGCCUAAAAUUCUCAUUAGGUUUUUUCUCUAUGUUUUGUAGCGUAAUCCUAUCCGGCGUCAUGUCAGUCACAUGAUUGUUCUGUUCCAUGAAGGCUUGUGCAAGAUCCUUCCACGAAUUUAUUCUGGCCCGGCUCAACUGAUUGUACCACCUGGCUGCUGCUCCCACUAAGCUAUCUUGGAAACAAUGAAUCAACAGUUGAUCAUUGUUUACGUAUCCGGUCAUCCUCCUACAGAACAUCGUAAUGUGGGCCUCUGGGCAAUUAGUCCCAUUGUACUUUUCAAACUCUGGCAUUUUGAAUUUAUGGGGAGCACCAAGUCUGGGACCAAACUCAAAUCUUUGGCAUCAACUCCAUGAUGCCCAUCAGCACUCUCUAGAGCCUUAAAUUUCUCCUCCAACCAUCUACAACGUUCCUCCAACUGUUUUGCAGCUUCGGCUCUCAAAUCUUCGUUUUCAGCCACGUCCAAGUCAGGAAUGAGAGGAUUGGUAGGGUUGUCACCCAAAUUGAAUCCCGAGCCAGUUGGGUAAUCCAUAUAAAUCCCAGUAUCAAUCGGCCCAUGUUGAGGCCUUAUAUUGACAGAUGGUCUUUUGGGAGGUGCCUCAGUUUGUGUAGGCCCGUGAGGUGGAGUAAAGCCUGGAGGAUGAUCCUCUUUCUCCUCACCAGUGAUUGCCAUAGGGGCUUUUCCCUUAUCCGUGGCCCUCAACAACUGAUCCAUCUCAGUCAUCAUAUUCUUCUAAGCCUCUAGCAUUUACUCUCUCAUGUCGUUUUGCAUCUUGGCCAAUUGUUCUUGCAAUUGGUUUUGCAUGUCCUUUUGUAGCUGUUCAAACCUUUGAUCCAUAUUCCUAGAUUUUGCACGAGUUCCGUACUGAUGCGUGGUUUCCAGAUUUUCCUUUCUACUUCUAUAGUAACUUUAACUAAUUAGGGUCUUUCUAUAACUUUGAAUGCAAAUAAUGCGAUGAAAUGCUAUGAGAUGCAAAUGCAUGAAUGCAAAAAAGACAUCGAUUCUGAUUCAAUCUCAUUUAGAAAACUUUAUUUAGAAAAAGAAUAUCUUUACAUAUAAGAGAAUUACAAAUACGCUUUCGCCUUAAUGCCCAAAGUUUUAACUCUAUCUAAUAAAAGGGCUAACCCUCAUCCUCUAUCCGACGAUGACUCGUACGUCAAACUCAAUACAUCAGCUCGUAUUACCAAGUCUUGCACGUGUUCAGCGACUUCUCGAAUCUGGGCUACGGCUUAUCUAAUGACGUGAUCCCUUUCUCUGACCUGUCCUCUAGACUGAUGAAGCUCUCCCUUCAAAUGAUCUUCUCGUACCCCAAGCUGCUAGAUUAGGAGCUUGCUAUCCUGCAAUGCUGAUUCCAACUCCUCAACUUUGCCUUUUAACUUUUUUACCUCAACAGUAGAAUCACGACUUCGAUGCAGAUGAAGGGAUCGCCCGAGCUCAGUUACUUUAGUCUUUAAACCUUGAUUUUCUUUUUCUAAGGUCAAAUUCCACGAUUGCAUCUCUUGGAACUUCUUUUCCGAAUAUUCGGCUUUAGCUUUUUCCUCUUGGACCUCCUUCUGCCCCUGAUCUGAAAACCUUCCUAGUCCUGCUCUUUUCAAAGCUACUUGUGCCCUUUUGUAGUGCUCCUUUAAAUCGUCUCGGUCCUUCUCGAUCUUCUUUUUUUCUUUCCUCUCUUUUUCGACCUCCAUCUUUUGAACAUCGACAUCUAGGCUCAAGUACAUCUUUUCUUCUUCGAGCUUUGCUAUCCUCUUCUCGAACUCCAAGUUCUUUCUUUUGAACACUUGCUUCAUGAUCUCUAAUUUCGAUGGCAUCACUUGAAAGUAUUCCUCCAUCGGUCGAGCUCCUUCCAUGCUUGGCCUAGGGAUAUUGACAUUAAUCCUUCUACUCUUCCACUCAAUGUACUCAGGGGUCGUAGCAGGGUUAAUGGCUACUCCUUUCAAUCUACAAGUCUGGUUCCAAGCACCAGAGAUCUCACUAACUUUCUUCUUGUAAUCAGCUCCUCUAUACAAGAACUCACUUUGAGCCAGUCCAUGAGUUGUUGGUACGAACUGCCUCAAUCCAUGCUGCCUCAACACCAGCAAAGGGGCAUAACUGAUGGCACCCCAAAUUCCCAAUAGAGGGACCCAAUCAAAACUGCCGCAUCGGUAAAGAAUCUCACCAGGAAUCAUCCACGGAGCCCUCCACUCAACAUCUUUCGACUGAAGGUUCUGAAGUAGCGCUAUCCAAUUUUCUUCUGAAACAUCAACUCUCCUAGUUGAAGCUGCUAUGUCCUUCAAUGGAGAGUAAUCCUCGAAGAAGACCUGACAAACCACCCUAUCUAUCAAUCGGAAGUGACUGUAGAACCAAGCUAAAAGUAACUGAGCACAACCAACAAACCUGCCCGCGCUGGCCCUCCUACAUGCAUUCAAGGACCUGAAUGUCUCCGCCAAAAUCUCAGGAACAGAAGUGACCCGUUUGCUUAGUCGAUGGAAGAGAUUUGUGGUCCCCUCGUUCAAAUAUCCCAAAGCCUUGGGGAAAACCAUCAAUCCGUAUAAGCUUAAGGCAAAAAGUCUACCCUCUUUGCCUCGUUUGGAUGUGUCUGGAUCAGAUCUUUCAGAGCUCCUCACGGAAUGCACUUACUCUCACCCUUUUCCUUAAUUCUAGCCAUGGUCCACUGCUCGCUCAUUCCCGUAAUAGUCAUCAACUUUUUACCAAAGGUUGGGACACAAGCAGCUCGAGAAUAAAUCCUAUCACACUAAAAUCUAAGACACCGAAGUAAGGUUGUGUACUCCUCCACAGUAGGCACUAAAUCUACCUCCCCAAAGGUAAAACAAUUGUAUGCUGGGUUCCAAAACUAAACGAGAGCUCGAAACAAGUUCUCAUCAAACUGAAUAUCAAACAAAUAGGGCAAAUUUUCGUACUUACCGUAGAAUGAUUGCUUGGUCUCAUUGCCCCACUGAUCCCAAAUCGCCUUAAACUCUUGCAGAUUAUUCUGUGUGACACUGAUGCGAGUGUAGUCUGAUAGCUCCGACACAUAUCCCGCAGUUAUGCUAUCCCUUUUCCUAACUGAGUUUGCUUAGACCAUCUAUGGACGUUAGCGUUGCCCUCCACUCUAUCAAGAAGUCCGUUCUCCAUAAUAAAACUUUCGAACUUAGAAACUGACUUUGGAUCAAUACCUUUUAAAUACAAAAUGACAUGCACAAAAGAAAGGAAACAGUCAGUAUCAUAUGAUAUUAAUAAACACAAAGAUAACCUAAGUAUAAUUCUAUCUAUAUUAAACUCUUAUGAUUUUCUAUAUGUGGUUUGUUUCUAAAGUUUGAGGUACCCGAACCAGUAGAUUCCUCGAUCCUCACCCAUUAUAGGCUUAUUUGAAUCAAGUUCAGUUCAGGGGAAUACAUUUCCCUAUGGCUACACAGAGAUGAAAAUCUCACGAAACCAUAGGUACGGAUGUAUCCCGAAAGUGAUCCACUAUCCUGCACGGAGGUGAAAACCUCAAGAAGGCGUAGCAUCUCACUCCCACUUAAGGGUGUGACCACAACGGUCAUGCAAAUGCAAUGCGUAUCAGAAUAUAGCAACACAUGCAAUAAUACAAACACAUGUAAUGCAAAGAGGAUUAAAUUUUAAAAUUUUAAUUUCUGACAUUAAGACAAGAGAUAAUCAAUUACAUGGCUUGACUCUCUUAUUAUUCCCCAGCGGAGUCGCCAAGCUGUCGAGACCAUUUUUAAAUCGAGUUUUGGAAAAUGGGAAUUGACUUUAAGAAAAAAAAACGGGAGUCGCCACCAAUCUUUUUAGGUGUGAUUGGAUCACUUUAUAAAAUUUUUGUUUUAAAACAUUAAUUUUGGUCUACGUAAGUCGAGAAAAUGGAUUUGGGAGUCGGUUACGUACGAGGAAGGGUUAGCACCCUCGUAACGCCCAAAAAAAUUGGUACCUAGUUGAUUAUCAAGCAUCUUUAAUGUCGGAAAUUUUGAAAGUUCUAAGAUACAAUCCUCUUUUGAAUAUUUUAAUUUUGAAAAUUAGAGUUCACUUGUAUCAAAUGAAUCAAAAUAUUGCAUCCAAUAAGUUAGGAAGUAAUAUUUUUAAGUCAUUCGAAACUAAGCUAGCCCUCCUUGAAAAUCCCUAUCUCGAAACGACAAAACGCCAUAUCCAGUAAGUUAGGAUACAACGCUUUGAAAUUCCAAGGCAGUUGCUCGUAUUUUGAAAACUCGAAAACUUAGAAGGGUGCUUGAUUAUUCUAACACAGCGAGAAAAGUUGCAACCCAGUAAGUUAGGGCACUACUUUUCUUGAAGCUUCCAAAUACCAAACGUUGCCUUUUUAUUUUUGAAAACUUUAGAAUCUUGUUUUUGAUUAAUGCAUGAGGGAUCAUAUUAACAUUAUGGAAUAACAUACAAGAUUGCAUAUUAUCAUAAUAGGUUAGUAAAAGUAUGAAUUUAAACAUAUUUUAAACAACAAACAUGGCACAUUUAAAACAUGUAAAACAUACACACAAAAGACAUUUGACAUACAUUAGAAAUGAAUAAGUGAGCAUAUAUAUAAGGUAUAACUCUAUAUACAUUUUAAUAAGUUAACAGACAAAAGAUGAUACAUGGCAUACAAUUUAACAUAAACAUAUCAACAUACAUAUCAAUUCUAAAAUACAACCAUUAAUAAUCAUAAAAUAGUAUUUAAUAUAUAAAUGAUAUGUUCAAUAUAUGUGUGAAAGAAUUAAUGUAUAUUAAAAUGUAAUAUAAGGUAAGUAAUUAUUGAUAAAAUAUACCUAAAAUAUAAAUUAAAAAAAAGCUUAAAAUAAGUUAUGUAUAAUAAUAUAAUAUGAAUAAAAUAAGGAAAUAUAAAAUAAUAAUAAUAAUAUAAUAAGUAUUUUGCAUAUAAAAGUAUGGUAGCAUAAUUAGAAAAAAAAGGAUAUAUACAUAAUAAAAUAUAUGUAAAAGAAUAUAUAAGAAAAAUAAAUAUUAUAAGGAAUAUUAUAUAAUAAAAUAUAGUAUGUAAUAAAAUAUAAAUAAUUAUAAUGAAAUAUAAUAUGGUAUACAUAUAAUAAUAGUAAUAAUGUAACAAAUAUAUAAUAAAAUAAAAAAUACAACAUAUAAUGAAAUUUAUGAAUGUAUAUAUAAUGUUAAAAAUAAUACAAAUAAAACAAUAUAUUAUUAAAUAUAACUAAUGUUUUUUAAAAAAUAUAUAUAUAAAAUAAAAAGGACUAAAAUUGGAUUCAAUUAAGAAAUUUGGGGGUUAAUUUGCAAAAUAAUAACAAUUCUGGGCCUGAUUGAAAUUCGCAUUAAAAUAGAAGGACUCACUGGGCUAUUUGCCCUAAUCCCAAAACGACACCGUUUCCCCUAAUACGGUUUUAAAUCACUGUGAGGGCCAAAUUGAAACAGAAUUAAAACAUUAAAGCUAAAUUAAAAAAUAAAUAAAAUGAAAUUAAAAAUAUAAAAAAUACGAGAGGACCAAUUGGGCAAUUAACCCAUUUUAUAAAAAACACGCAGAUCCUCCCCGGGUAAUCGGGUCAACACGCGGAUCCUCAGGUCUUAAAACGAAGUCGUUUUUUAAGCUUAUUGACUUAAGCCAAAACGACACCGUUUCUUUUAGGCUAUAUAAACCAAAUUGUAAGCUUGAAAAUCAUUUUUACACCGGUAAAAAAAAACUUAAAGAAAUCCUCUGCAGGAGGAUUCGGGGUCGUCCUCAGAACCUUGUUGGGCCCCCAUUCUUAGGCUCCUAUGCCCACACGCCACCGCGAGGACCACCACGCACGGUGAUCGGAGGGUUAAAAACCCUCGUCCUUUCUAGCGAAUCACAGGUAACUCUCUUCCUCUUAAUAUUUCCGUAGUUUUUUUUUAAAAAUGCUUCGUAUACCAGUCAGAAAAUAAUUAACAAAAUAUGACAUAUAAAUCACCUUAAGAAACUGUUUGCAAUCCUGAAUGUAUUCGUAUGUCUGUUGCUUUUAUUUUCUAAAAAAAAAAAUCCGGUCCUUUACAUCGUAUUUGAUUCAGGCUUUUAUAGCCACUGUUUACAAUAUAUUUUGGGAAGAAAUCUUUUAUUUCUUCCCAUUUUUUUGUUUGUUUGCUGCUGUUUCUUUCUCUUGUGCAGUUAUUCGCGAGGAAAAUUCGGCGAUGAUCGUGCUGGACGCAGAUCUGCCGGUGGCGUUGAUCACGGAGUGACCUGGAGCUUGGAAUCGUGGCUUUGAUGGAGGGUAGUUGGAACGACAGAAACCGAAGGAGCGUGACGUUUGGUUUGGCUUCUGGAAUUUUCUGUUUACGGUGCUUAGGGUUCCAAAAAAACCUAGGUCUCCCCUAAUCUGUUAACACAUUUGGGCCUCUUGGGCACCGAGUGUAAUGGGUCUGCUGGGCUUAAGCUAAAACCGGGUAUAGGCAGUUAGGUCAAAUGUAAACGGGUAGUGGGUUUAGGUAUUUGGGCUGCUUGGUUAUGUAUUAUUUUUUGUUUUGGGCUCUGUAUAUGGACUGUUUAAAUAAAUAAACAUUUAUUUAUUUUUUUAUUUUUUAAGGCCCGGGCAGAUUUGGGCUAUUACAAAAAUAUUUAAAAGUUUUAAAUAAUUUCAAUAAUUUUUAAUUUUUUUAAAAAAAUAUAAUAUUUUUUUGAAGUUUUUAAAAUUUUAAAAAUUAGUUAAAUGCUAACGUGGUAUCCAUAUGACAAUCCAUGGGUAUAAAUAUCAGCAAAGUUAAAAUAUGUUAAUCUUUUCUGUCAAUUUAGGAGUGAUUUGAUAAAAAACUCAAGUUUAAAAGUUAAAAAACCAAAAAAUAAGAUAUGAAAGAACAAACAAGGAGGAUGAUUAAGCUAGCAAUGGAUGAUGGGUAUAAUAAACAUGACGUUUCAACAAUAUAGAUGGAAUAAUACCUCAACUUUAAUAAUAUUUCCCAAAUAGGAAAGGAAAAACCGAGAGUAUUCCCAAUAACCAGUGUCGUGAUACAUUUUCUAUAAUCUCUGAUCCAUAUUACCAAAUUCCCAUGUUCAAGUCAGGAUUUACAACAGUAGUAAGUAUAAUUACAAUUAAUCAAUGAAUAUCUUUUUUAGUCAAACCAUAAAAUGACAAGAAAACCAAGAUAACAAAAUCCAAGUUGCAAAACUAUACCAAAUUUUCGAGAAGAUAAUCCAUAUUGAAUAAUAUAAAGAUUGAUAAUAUCAGAGAAAGUCCAGAAGAAUAACAUUGCACAUUCGCCUUUCAGAGUUUUCACCAACAGAAAUAGAAGAAAAUAUCAUAUGAAUCUUAGUAUAAAGUAUUCUAUCACAUAUAUUGACUUGGAAAACCAAAGAAAGAUAAAGUAAUGACACUUGUGAAUUAAUCAGACUUGCGACAAUUUCUGUCUGUUAGCAUAUUUAUCUAACCUUUUCCAUAUAAUGAUUAUAGCAUCCAAUCAUGAACAGUUGCAUAUACUUCUGAAAAUAUCAAUACAUAUAAUACACCCAUAUAAAAUCCCAAAAAAUUACUAUAAUGUACCCAAUUAUAACAGCUAUAUUAAAAUACUUUUGCAAUUUAUUCACCAAUCUAUUGACUAGUAUAGUCAUCAUUAAUUUUCACAUCAUUUAGUUCACUCAAGAAAUUAAUUAAGAAGAAAUUUUUAGUUAACCAUUGUGUAAAUACCAUAUCUGAAUAAAUCAAUUUUCCUAUAAAUAAGUUCUUUCUUUAGCAGUGGUACUGUAUAUUCCAAGUAGUUUUCAGAAAAAUCUAAUGUCUCUAUUCAGAACCCAUCUUUACUUAUUAACUCAUUCUCAGUUCUAACUGCAUUAUUAAUUGCUCAUUCAUUAAACUUUUUCACUUUCACACUUAUGAACUUAAUCAAUAUAAAUCGCAUGAAUUUCAUUACAUAUAACUGUACUGGUAAGGGGGUAGAGAUCGUAAAGUCUCAUAAUUUAAUUUUUCAUGUAUUUACUCAUAUAACAUAAUAUUUAUCUUUUUCAAGUACUAAUAAACAUUUAUCUGUAUCUUUACGAAUUUUGAUUCAUCGUAAUCAACAUUUUUACUCAGAGAUAAUCCUUUACCUUGACACAAUAUUUUUUUUUAUUUAGCAGAGGCUCAGUAGACUAGAUAAUGCUUUUACAUGCUUUACAAUUUAAUACUUGUACCAAUAAUUCGUACAUUUAUAUCUUCUGUAUCUUUAAUACGUGUAAUAUAUUUUAAAAUUUACUAUUCAUCCAUAAUUAACAAAUAAUCCUUAUCAUGUACUUCAUAUAUAUAUAUAGAUAAAUCACAGGAAAAGAAUUUCUCGAUAUAUGAUUUUGAACUGGCAAUUAUUGUAGUUGCAUCAGGAAUUUGGCAACAUUAUCUAUUUAGUGAAAGAUGCUAUAUAAGUACUGAUUACAAAAGUUUAAUAUAAAAUUUUAAAGUAUCUGAUGUUACAGAAAGAUUUGAGACAGUGUGGAUUGUGAGCUGCUGAAAGAAUAUGAUGUGGUAAUUGAUCAUUAUUUGGGAAAAACAAAUGUAAUUGUUGAUACUUUGAGUAUAAGAUUUCUGUUUGUCUUAUAAGCAAAGGAUACCUGAUUGCAAUUGUCUGAUAAUAGUACAAUCUUAGUAGAACUUAAAGCUAAACCAAUGUUUAUACAACAGAUCUGUGAAACUUAGAGAUGUAAUAAUGAGUUGCAAGUUAAAUGAGUACAAAAUGGGUCAACUUCUAAUUCAGGAUUUCAAAUUAGAUCUGAUGAUUGUCUAUUAUUCUAAGACAAAACAUUUAUACUGAAGAAUAAAGGUAGCUUUAGUAAAAAAAAUUUAUGAUAAUGAUAUGAUACAAAAGAAGCUAUCUAAGAAUAAAAGAAAACUACGAGAAAGUAAUAUCUUUUUUUUUACUGAUGAGAUUUUCAAGGAUAAAAAUUAUUUAAUGGGGAGAGAAAUAUAAUACCCCGAAAAUUUCUAUAGUAAGAUAUUAUCCUUGAUAUAGAAAAAUAAGGAAAUAAAUGACAAAAAGGGAAGUUUUGAGUUAUGACAACAUUGGGAAGUAAAUUAUGAUAUCUUGAUUUAGGAAAGGACUAAAUUGCAAUAGUGUGAAUAGUUUUGUUGCAUAAAAGUAAAUACUUAAAACUUGAGGGGUUAAAGUGUAAAUAUGAAAAAUUUGAAGGGUCAAUAGUGUAAAUAUUUUAAGGGUGGAAUGAUCUAGAAAUUAAGGAAAAUGGAUGAAUUAGGACCAAAUUGAAUAGGUGAAGAAUUAUGAGGGACUAAAUUGUAAUUUUACCAAAUUAAAUGAUGACUCAAGGAUGGAAUUUUAAAAGAUAAUAAAGGGAAAAAUGAUCAAUUGGAAGAGAGAGAAAUCUAGCAAGUAAUGGUGAUGUUGAUGAUAUUUUAUAACUAUUUAAUUAAGAUAAACAUUAUUUUAAUAUUUUAAUGAGAUAUUUUAUUAUUUAUUAUUAUUUUAUUAUUAAUUUAUUUAAUAUAUAAGGAAGGAAAGAUGAAGAAUUUCUAUCAUCUUUCCAUCCAUGCAAUUCAUGUUAGAAGAAAAGAGAAGAAAGAAAGUUUUCUUUUCUUUACAAUUUGGUCCUUUCACCAAAAAUCCACCAUUUUCACUUAGAAAUCAAAAGAAUUUCCUUAGCUAUCAAGAGAUAAAGAUGACAAGGAGACAAUUAGGAGCUAGAAUAUCAAGUUAGAUUCAAGAAAUAGAAGCUAUAGGAGAGAGAAAAUCAAGUUAAAGAUUGAAAUCAAUGAGACAAGGUAAGAACAUCAAGAUUUCAAUAUAUUUUUAAGUUUGAUACUAUUGAAAAAGCAUGGAAAUGAUGUUAAUGUAGAGUUUUCUUAUAUAAGAUUUUAUGUUCUUAAUAUGUUAGUGAAGAGAAAGUAAUGAGAAAUAGUGUAGAGAAAGAAAAUAAGGGUGUUAUAAACAUGGUAAAUAAACAUCUUGCACUAAAAUAGUUUUGGACAUCAGCAGUAGGCUAACUUUGAAAAAUCACCAUAAAUUGUGGAAAUCGAAUUAGAGGAUGAAUAAAAUAUGGAAUUAAAUAUUAUUGAGUCUAGUUUCUUAUAUAAGAAAUGUAUAAGAAAUGGAACUAUGGAUUAUGAGAUAUAAUAAAUUUUGUGAGACAAGGUUAGAAUGAUUUCGGGUUCCCCUAUUUUGACUUUAGAAAAUCAUCAAAAAUUGGAGAAAAAUAAUUAAUGGCUUAAAUUUAUAUGUUUAAAAUCCUUAAUGAGUCUAUUUUCAAUAUAAAUAAUCAGGAAUAUAUUCAGAUCUCGUACAAGGAGAUAAUUAAUUCUUAGCAAAGAAGGGUCAGAACUGUCAGACAACAGAACAGGGGUAACUUUAAAGAAUAAACUGUACUUAUUGGCUAAACCAAAAAUUCUAAAAAUUUUAUGGUAAGAAAAUAUGUGAGUCUAGUUUCAUAUAAAAUUAUCUUAUCUUAAUUUUGAGUUCUUUAUCUUAAGAUAAAAAUAAUCUAGUGACUAUGACACUGAUGGACAACUUUGAAUAUACAUAUAAGUAAAUAGUGAAAUUAUAAAUAAUGUUACUUAUAAGCAAGUUAUAUACAUUAAGGAUGUGGAAUGGAGAGGAGGAGGAGGAAAAUAUAUAUGAAUAUCCAGCUAGUAUGGUUAAUUUGCAUGUUCUAGGCUCAAGGACUAAAUUGAAUAAAAGUAAAACUUUAGGGGAAAAUUUUGUAAAAAUGUCAAAAAUGACCAAAUUGAAGGGAAUGAAUUGUUUUAUUUUCUAAAUUAUUAAAUUGAAUGAAAUUAUUAAUUUAAGAUCGAGUGAAAAUCGAGAAAAUGGUAAAUUACCAAAAUGCCCCUAAAUCAUGGUAUUUCUGCAAUUUAGUCAGGUAGGUUCGUAUAACUUGAAUGAGCAUGUAAAUAUGUCAAUUUAAAUAUUGUAUUGUAUUUUAUAUGAUGUUUGGAUUGAAUAUAUGAAAUGUAUGAAUGUUGAAACGAAAGAAAUAAUACAUGUUCUGAAACUACUUGAAAGGGAUAAAAUCUGUUUGAACAUUGGGUUCCAAGCGGAUAUAGGUGAUUUUCCAAAUGAAAGAGUUUCUGCAUUUGUUGCAGAAAUAGAUGAUCCGAACGGUUAAUCUGACAAAAGCCUUCUCAAGAAUAUAAAGUGAAUAGGAUUUGUUCCUGAUUCACUAUAAUACCUCAAAGUGGAUAGGAUUUGUUCCUGAUUCACUAUGGUAAUUUAAAGUGAAUAGGAUUUUUUCCUGAUUCACUAUGGUAACUUAAGGCAAAUAGGAUUUGACCUGAAAAUGUAAUCCUAAUUCGCUACGAUUACAUGAUAUAUGAUUCAUUACGGUAACCUAAGGUGGAUAGUGUAGUAGCCCAUUUUUGCUCGGGCUUUAAAACCAAAAGUAAAAUAAAUAAAUACAUGUUUAUUUAAACAGUCCAUUUACAAUAAACAGGCCUCAAGGCCUGAUAAGCCCAAAUGCCUAAAGACCCAGCAGACCGGUUACAACCCAGACCCAAUUAACCUAUUAGCCCGUUCACCCCAAUCCAUAAACAGGUACGGCCCAAAUGGCCCAAUUUGUUAACAGAUGAGGGAAGACCUAGGGUUUUUGGAACCCUAGGCGUCGUAAAUGGAAAGUUCUAGAGGCUAAGCCGAACGUCACGCCUCUUCGGUUUCUGUCGUUCCAAUGGCCCUCCAUCAGCGCCGUGAUACCAGCGUCAUAUCGCGCCAUAAUCGACGCAUUCUCCGUCGUAAUUGUCGUGUAUAGACUUGCAAAAGGAAAGAAAGCGACAGAAACGAAACAAAUAUGGCAGGGAAUAUUUUUAAACAUGUAAAAAUGCUAUGUACAGUGGCUAUAAAAGCUUGAAUCAAAAGAUGUAAGAGGCCAGAUUUUUUUUUACAGAUAUACAAAAAUAUAUACACAUAUUACUCAGAGCAGAAAUAAGAAGCAAGGUUCACUUUAGAAGGUGAUUUAAAUCUCAUAUUUUGUUUUUUUGUUUUUUUCCUUGAACGAAUAUACGAAUCAUUUUUUAAAAAAAACUAGUAAUAUUUAAAAGAAAAGGAAUCACCUGUGGAAGGAUGAGGGUUUUUAACCCUCCGACCAUCGUGCGUGGUGGCAUUCGCAGUGGCGCGUGGGUACCUGAGGACGGUAGCUUGACAGAGCUCCGAGGCCGACCUUAAGUUCUCUUCAGAGGAUUUUCUUUCUUUUUUUUUAGGACCGGCACAAAAUGAUUCAAGGGCUUAAAAUUUGGCUUAUAUAGCCAUAUGUGAACGGGGUCGUUUUGACCUGAACGGUAACCUUCAAACGGCAUAGUUUUUAGACCAGGAUCCGCGCGUUGACCCGAUUACCCGGGGAGGAUCCGCGUGUUUUUGAAGAUUGGGUUAAUCAUUCCAUUUGUCCUCCCACAUUCUUUAAUUUUUAUAAUUUCAUUUUACUUAUUUUUUUAAUUUAGCCCUAGUAUUUUAAUUGUGAUUCAAUUUGGUCCUAACAGUGGCUUUAAUACUGAAUUCAUGGAAACGGUUUCAUUUUGGGAUUAGGGCAAAUUGCCCAGUGAGUCCCUCGUUUUUUAUGCGCUUUCCUAAUAGGCCCAAAUUCUUUUUAUAUUCUUCUAAUUAGCCCAAAGUUUUCAAUUGUUUUUAAUUUUAAUCUUUUUAUAUAUUUUUAAUUUAUUUUAAAUACUUUAUAUAUUAUUUAUUUUAUAAAUAUUAGUUAUAUAAAUUGAUAUAUAUUAUUUUUAUUUAUAUAUUAUCCAUUACAUUAUAUUUAUUAUUUAUUUAUAAAUUAUAUGUUAUUAAAAUUUAUUAUAUUAUAUGAUAUUAUAUUAGCUUAUAUGGAUAUGUAUUAUUAUAUUUUAUUAAUUAAAUAUUUUUUUAUGUGUGUAUUAUAUGUUUUUAAUGAUAAUUAUAGAUAAAUAAUAAAAUUAUUUUUAUUUAUAUUAUUGUAUGCUUCCUAUAAAUUUUAUAUACAUUAUAUUAUAUUAUAUUAUUUUAUAUUUAUAUCUUAAUACGUAUCACCAUGUAUAGUUUUAAAAUUUUAUAAAUUAUUAUUAAACAUUAUUUUUUAUAUAUACUAUUAAAUAUUUAAAAUUCAUUUAUCAUUACAUUAUUCUAUUAUUUUUAUAUUUUAUAUGUUAUUUUAUUAAUAUAUAUAUUACUAUUAUGAAGUUUAUAAAUUAUUAUUAAGUAUUAUACUUAUGUGUACUAAACAUAUAGUCAGGGGCGAAGCCAGAAAAAAAUUUUUAGGGGGGUCGAAGGAAAUUUUAAUUUUUUAUAGUCUAUAUAUUUAUAAUUUUUAAAGGAUUAAAUUGAAUUUUUAUAAUUUUAGGGGGGCCAAAGUGCAAUUUUACCUUUACUAAUUUAAAAUUUUAAAAAAAUCUAAAUGGCCUAAAUGAAAAUUUCCCAUUUUAGGGGGGGCCGGGGCCCAUGCCUGCCCCCUGGUUUCGCCCCUGCAUAUAGUAUGUAUAUUAUCAUAAAAUUUUAUUAUUUAUAUAUAUUAUACUACGUUCUAGUAUUUAUUAAACGCUUUAAAAUUUCUCUUAUUUGUUUAUUGUACCAAAUAUGUGAUUUUUUUUAAGUUUUGUAUUCUUUAUAUAUGUUCAUAUGUUACUAAUAAAUUUAUGAUAAUUGCUUUAAUACCUAAAUUCAUUGCACGAAUUACUUGUUAUCAUUGAUCUUAUAUGUUUACAUGAAAAUUAUUUAUUUAUGAAAGAUAUAUGGUCAUGAAGCAUGAUUGUUCAUUUUAUCCUCAUUGUUUAUUAUGCCGUAUUCUUACAUGAAAUAUUAUUAUCUUUGCCAUUUUGUACUUGCUUGCAUGAAAUAAUAAUGUGUUUAUUAAUAUUAUUUGUGAUUAUAUAUGCAUGAAAUAUCAAAGUAUUAUGUGUCGUAUGUCGUAAUUACCAUUUAUUAAAUUAUAUUUGUGUGAAAUACUAAAAUACGUAGCUUAAUUAAUUCAAUGUUGACCUAUUGAUAAUAUGUUAAAUGCAUCAUUAUUAAAAACCUUUAUAUUUCAUUCAAUCCAAGAGAUUUUUUAAAGGGUAAGGCAAUGUUUUGGAUAUUUAGAAAUUCCGGAAAUAGUGCCCUAACAUGCUGGGUUGCAAUUUCUCGUUUGUCUAAAUAACUAAAAUAUCCUUUUAAACGAGUUUUACAAAUCACGAGAUAAUUUUAGUUACGAAAGUGUAAAGAUAUGGUAUCCAAUCAUGCUGGAUGUAAUGUUUGUACUAUUUUGAAGCGAAUGAAUCUUGAUACUUUUAACUUAAAAUAUUACAGUUUUAAGGAAAUCUCAUUUAGAAAUUUUUUCAAAUUUCUGACAUUAAGGAAAAAUUAUUCAAUUUGGUACCAAUUUUGGGCGUUGCGAGGGUGCUAAUCCUUCCUCGUACGUAACCGAGUUCCGAACCCGUUUUCUUAAUUUUCGUAGACCAAAACAUUUUAUAAGGUGAUCCAAUCACACCUAAAAGGUUGGUGGCGACUCCCGUUUUCGUUUUUUUCAAAAAGUCUAUCCCUGUUUUUCAAAACCCUUUAAAAAUGGUUUCGACAGAUAGGAUUUGACCUAAAAAGGUAAUCCUGAUUUGCUACGGUUACACGAUAUAUGAUUCCUUAUGAUAACCUAAGGUGGGUAGGAUUUGACCUGAAAAGGUAAUCCUGAUUCACUACAGUUACAUGAGAUGUGACUCGAGAGAGUGCUUGAUAAUUAAACGUCCUAAGGGUUAUUUCUGAAUAUGAAUUGAUGGAAUAUGGAAAUGUACGCUUUGAGUGUACUGUUGAAAAAUCCAUCGAAACUCCAAUGAUUCAAUGGAUAGAAUAUUUGAUAUGAUACAAGAAUUAUAAUAUGAAAAGGAUGUUACAUGAAACAUGAAAAUGAAUACUAAAUGAUAUAAAUUAAUUGAAAUUAUUCUAAAAAUUUCGAUAAUGCCUCGUCUCCUAUCCCGGUCUCGGGUACAGGUAUGGGGUGUUAAAUGCUAGUAUUCUGUAUGUUGGAAACACUACGAAAUGAGAUGAAUUGGUGUAAGGCAAAGAGCUCCUAUGUUGAAGUAGUUAUAGAACUUUCUCAGUAUGUGAAAAUCUUAUAUUUACAUAUACAUCUAUAAAUUGAACAGCAGGGUUCGGUAAAAAUAAAAAUAUAAAUUAUUAAAUUAUUAAAAAAUAAAGAUAUUAAAAAUGAAUUAUCUUUUGACUUGACAUCCAGGUGUAUGUCUACGUCAGCAAAGUUAAUAUUUGUUAACUUUUCUAUCUAUUUUGGGGUGAUUUGAUAGAAAAAAUGUAAAUUUGAGGGUUAAAGAGAGGCAGAAAAUUAAAUGGAGGACUAAAAAGACUUUUUUUAAUGUUGGAGGGCUAAAUAAAUCAUUAUACCAAAUUAAUUCAAUCAAUCAAAAAUAUAACUAAACUAUAAACAAAACAAAUUUGAUAUGAAAUUGAAUCAAAUGAAGUGAUAAUAAUUUGUAUUCAAGUUUUAAGUUGACAUUAACAUUGUUUUUAGUAUACGAGGAUGAAGGUUCGAGUGAGUUGAAAUGUGUUAUCCUCCUUUUCAAGGGUUGGGAAGAGAUUAUGGGCAGUUCUAGGCAUUGUAUCAAAAAUAGAAUUAAAUUAUAAAUAAACAAUGCUAAAAUAUUAAAUAUCUAUAUAAUCAUCAUUUAAAUUUCAUUUUUAAGAAACGUUGUAAAACUAUGUAAAAAUUAGGCAUAAUGAUUUUUUUGCCCUCCAACUUUAUAAAAAAAAUCAUUUUGGCCGUUUUAUUUAAUCUUUUGUCUAUUUUAACCAUUGAGCAUGAUUUUUUUGUCAAAUCAACAUAAAAUGAAUGGACAAGUUAACAUUUUUAAACUUUGCUGAUAUGACUUAUACGUGGAUGACAUGUCAACACUUAAUUAAUUUUUUAAAAUUUAAAAAUAUUUAAAAGUUUUAAAUAAUUUCAAUAAUUUUUAAUUUUUUUAAAAAAACUAUAAUAUUUUUUUGAAUUUUUAAAAUUUUUAAAAAUUAGUUAAAUGCUAACGUGGUAUCCAUAUGACAAUCCAUGGGUAUACAUAUCAGCAAAGUUAAAAUAUGUUAAUCUUUUCUGUCAAUUUAGGAGUGAUUUGAUAAAAAACUCAAGUUUAAAAGUUAAAAAACCAAAAAAUAAAAUGUGAGGCUGAAAUGAUUUUUUUUUAUUAUAAGUUUUUAAAAGUUAUUUUACCUUUAUCACUUUAUAAAUUUUUUUAAGGUAUAAAGAUAAAGUUAAUUUCUUACAUUUACUAAUUUUGUCAUUUUAGCUUUUAUUUUUCUUUUAGAUCACUUUGGUCCUCAAUCUUUAAAAUGUGAAAUUACUUUUCUAGAAAAAAUUAUCAUUGCAUCUAUUUUUCAUCAAAUAUGUUUAAAACUUUUUUUUUCCAAAUAUGCUAAGUAGAAAAUAUUUAUAUUUAUAAAUAUGUCUUCUAUAAAAAUAUUUAUUUUCAAAAUUGUUUUAAAUAAAAAAAAUAUAUAAAAACUAUUCAAAACCUUAUAGAAAUAAUUAUUUUUAAAUUUAAGAAAAUUUAUACAUUACUUUAAAAAUUUUAAAACUUCAUUAUAAAAAGCAUAAAAUAAUUAGAUAUUUUUUAAUUUAUAGACACAAUCAACCAUGCGUCAAAGAUAAGCAAAUUAGUAUAUAUAUUACCGGCCUAAGAUUAAUGUUGAUGUAAAGAAUUUAAAAUGACGAUAUUUGACACUCUAAAUGAAUGUUGCAUGUAUUGUCAAAACUAUUUUUAAUUUAACACACUUUUAUUAAUAUAAUUUUAAGUAAAAAGGAAAAUCAUGUUUUAGACAAUUUUCUUACAAUUUAAAGUAGUUGUACUUCAUAUGGUUUACAAAACUACUUUUUAAUGAAAUUCGUAAAGUUAUUCAAUUUAAAAUUUUUUUAUUAGUUUUUUAAAAAAAUUUCUAAUCGUACAUAUAUAUAUAUAUUACAAACCAUAUAUAUGUAUAUUACUAUAUUAUAUUAUGCCAUAAGGUCUAAGACCUAAACUUGAUACGUACAACUUAUUUAAUUGACAGAUUGAUAAUUAUUAUUUUAAAAAGUUUUAAAUAAAUAAAAGUUAAAAUCAUAAGUAAAAUUUGAAAGAGUUAGAUAGAUUUUAAAAUUUUACAUAAAUUCUUUAGGUAAGAAAAUAAAAUUUUAUAAAAUUUUUCAUAAAUUUUUUAAAAUUUAUAAAAUAAAUCUAUAUAAAUGCCCAUAGCUAUCGUAUAAAAUAAUAGUAUUUUCAUUUCUUUAUUUUUGAAAUAUCUUUUUCUAUAUUCUUACUUUCAUGUUUAUUAUGUGUCAUAUAUUUUUGAAAUAUUUUUUAUUUUAAAAAAAUGGGAGUCGACUUAAAAAAGAAAAUGGAGUCGCCACCGAUCUUUUUUUGAAGUGUGAUCGGAUCAUCUUGAGACUGAUCAUUUUAAUAAAACAUUUUUGAUUUAUUAAAACAAUGAUUUUGGUCUUCAAAACUAAAAAAUGGGUUCGGAAUCCGGUUACGUACGAGGAAGGGUUAGCACCAUCGUAACGCCCAAAAUUGGUACCUAAUUUAUUGAUUAAUGUCCUAACAUCGAAAAUUUGAAAAGAUUUUAAAAUACGAUCCUCUUAUUUAAAAGAACACUUGAAUAAAUCAAAUUGGAUGCUAAGACCCUCUUAUCUCGAAGAAAUAAAAUGUCAUACCGAGUGAGUUAGGAUACGGCAUUUCAAAUCCUCGAAAUUAAGCCUGUCUUUUGAUUUUUAAAACUCAUGCACUUAAGUUUAAAAAAAUAUAUUCAAUUAUUUGGGUCAAAUGAAAAAUCGAAACCCAGUAAGUUAGGGCACAAUUUCUCAAAAUUCCAAACGUAGAAUAUUGCCUUUAUUUUUAAAAAUCCUUAUCUCGAGAUAAUGAAACGUCAUAUCCAGUGAGUUAGGACAUAACUCUUCAAAUUCCCGAGAAUAAGCUUUUAUUUGAAACUUAUACGUUUGGAUUGAAGAAGGAUAUUUAGUUAUUUAGAUUCAAUGAGGAAAAUUGGAACCCAAUAAGUAAGGGCACAAUCUUCUCGAAGAUUCCAAAUACCGAGUAUUGCCUUAUUAUUUUUUAGAAGUUUUUUAGAUUUGGGGGAAAAUUGAUACGAUAUUAAAACGAUGCAUAAAAAACGUUGAUGAAAAAUGACAAUAUGAAAAUAUAGAUAAAUAGCUUAUAGAACACAAGAUCGCAAUAAACACAUCAUAUACAUUAUUUAAGAAGCUAACAUCAAUAAUCAAAGACAAAUGAAUUAAAAGACAUAUAUAACAAUUUAAAAAAACAAAGCAAGUCGAAAUAGAAUGUAAAAAUAAUUUUAAAAUGAUAAUAAAUGAAUUUAUAAUAUAUAAUGUGAGAAAAGAAUUUAAAAAUCAACAAAAUACAAAAUGAAUAAAAAAUAGAUGAUAUAUCACGAAAUUUAAAAUAAUAUAUAUAAGUUUGAAAUAAACAAUAUAUAAAAAAAACUCAAAAUAAACAAUAUAUGAAAUAAUUUGUAAUGAUAUAAAAUAAAACAUUGUAUAAAAUGAUAUAAAAUGAAUAAUAUAUAAGAUAAUUUAAAGUAACAAUAUAUAAAACUCAAUCAAGAUAAAACUAUUUAAAAUAUGUAAUAUAAAAAUAAUAAAACAAAAUUGCUUGAAAUCAAUACUUCAUAAAAAAAUUGAAAUAAGUAAAUAAAAUACAAAUUUGCAAAAGGGAUGAAAAUAAAAUAAAUCUCUAUACAGAAUGAUAAUAAAUAAUCAAGCGAAUAAAUACUAAAUAUUAAGCAAAUUAAUUUAAUAGUAUGAUGAUAAUAAUAAUAAUAGAAGUAAUAAUAAAUAAAUAAUAAUGAAAAAUAUAACUAAUAUAAUAAUAUUACAAAUAAUUAAUUAAUUUGGAAAUGAAACAACAAAAAUAACGAAAAAGGACGAAAACAGAACCUAAAAUCGAAUUUCGGGGCAAAUCAGAAAUAAAUAAAUAAGAAAAGGAUUAAAUCACAUGUACGAAUAAAGAGGAAGGACUAUUCUUGAAAAUAUCCCUCUCUCCAAAACGCACAACUUGAGGUAGGAUCAAAAUGCAAUUAAUAUAAAAAAUGGGGUCAAAAUUAAAAAAGAAAAGUAACUCAAUCAAAUAGAAUUGCGAAGAAGAGGGACCAUUAGCACAAAUAUCCCAAAAUUCCAAAAUGAACAGCUCCUCCCUUUCUUAAACAAUGACCUUUCAAAUUUGGUUUAAAUUAUCAUUCAGUUUUCUUCAAAAAAACGUUACAGACCCCAUUUUCCUUUUUUCUUCUUUAAAAAACAAAGAUUCUUUCUCUUCUAAAAAAGAAAACCAAAUCUCUAACACCCCCAUUUUUGCUCUCCUUCAACAGAUCAUAGAGAGGCAAUCCGACCACCCCUUUUUUGAGCCUAAUUUCGAUGAUGGAGAAGGACUCUCCGGCGCCGUGACCGUGGGUUCAGGUAAAUCUUUCUCCUUUCUCCUUUUGAUUUUCGUAGGUAUGGAAAAAGAAAGUGAAGAAAAUGAAGGAAAAAAAAACAAAAAUAAAAAAAAAAGAGGAAAGAAAAAAACGAAAGUUAGAAACCACCUUUAAAAUUGUUUUCUCUUCUUCUCUAUCGAUUGUGCGUAUUUUUAUCCAAAAAAAAUCUCCCCAAAACAAUAAUUUCAUGAGGCUUUUAUAGCCCUUUUUACAACUGAUUUUCAACUAUUGCAAGUUGUGGGUGGCGUGGUGGACGUGGGCACUGACGUGGUACGUGGGUGCGAACGUGGAGGAGUGGGAUGCGAGGCGGCUGACGAGCAUGCGGUGCUGGUCAAAGGGGCGUGCUGCUUCCUUAUUUUCUGUUUAGGGUUUUAGUUUGGGCUAGGCUUAUAUUUUGGGCCUAUUAGGCUGCUUUGUAUAUUUUGGAUUUUAAGUUUGGUUGUAACUGGGCUUUGUAAUUCUGGACUGUUGUUUAUUGGGCCCCUGGUUAAAAUUAGGCCUUACAGUCUUUUUUUUUUCUUCUUUUCUCUCAUUCUUCCAUAUUCUCACUUUUAUACAUUUGAUUAUUUUUUUUACCCUUACCAAAUUAUCUCUCAUUUGUUGAAUUCCAUUGGUAUUUAGAUUGCCACAAUAACAUUCGUAUAUUUUCUAGGAAACGAUAAGUAUGCCUUGUUUCGAUGAUUAAAUCUCGAAUUUUCAUAAUAUUAAUGUCUGGUAUUAAUAUUUAGGUUAGACUAAUCAAUCUUUUAUGAAUCUUGUCAAAUCUUUGAUAAUUUUGCAAAAACCUUGACCCAAUAAUUAAUUCGUGUGUAAAUGUCAUUUGAAAGACCGAAUCUAGGUGAAUCGGACCAAAAUCAAGCGUGAGGAACAUUGAUCGAACCCAUGGUGAAAGAUGUGUGUUCUUUACCAAGUGAAUCGUGACAAACUGUGUGUAGUUUAGGGCCACACGAUCCCCCACACAACCAUGUCCACCUGUAGAUUUUAGGGACUUCGUGAACAACAUGAAUUCAGCCUGUUACAUGGUCUGCCACACAACCGUAUGUCUCACUUCAUCUCUUCCUUGAAAGCUUGCAACCUGGCGUCCAUCUUCGCUUUUAGUUUCAUAUCUAAGAGGGCCAGAUCACUUUGAAUCUUUGCAAUCUCCUGCUGUAGGUCAUUGACUUCCUUUUGUAGACGUAUGGUAACCCCUUCCCUGACCAUGAAGAUCAUGCUUGCUCUAAUACCCUUGAUGUGGAACGAAAUUGUUCAGUAAGAAUAAGAGAGAUUAGAGAAAAGAGAGUAGAGAAGAGAGAAAUCAAGGGAGGGGAAAUUCUUGUGUAUUUUUCUAUAUGGCUUUUCUAGUUCUCCAUAACCAACAUAAAAAGAGGAAAAGCAAGCGGGAAAGAUGGUUCAAAAGUUUGUUACUAACAAUAGAACCGUUGUUGACCAAAACACAACGUUUAAGUAAACUAAUACUUAUGCCAAUACACCCCGUUUAAGCUGAGUGUUGCUCCUUAAUAAACUUGUACUGCCACUAAGCGCCAUUUUCAUUAAAAUAAAAUGCACCAUUUUUAAUCAUUUCUGAUUUUGGCCUAUAACAUCCUAAAAUGGAAAUUUUCAUUUUAAGCGCUUGAAACUUUUUAAAAAUUUUAAAUUAGUAAAGGUAAAAUUGCACUUUGACCCCCCUAAAAUUAUAAAAAUUCAAUUUAAUUCUUUAUAAAUUAUAAAAAUAUAAAUUAUAAAAAAUUAAAAUUUCAUCCGACCCCCCCUAAAAAAAUUUUCUAGCUUCGCCCCUGCUACUGCUAAAUAAGAUACCCUAAGUUUACAUUUUAUAAUUAUUGUAAAGUAAUAUUUUCCUUUAAUAAUGAAUAAAAUCUUUAUUAUUAUUUUCAUCUUCGUCAUCUUUGGAGAUGUUGAAUGUACAAUCACGAUUAUUGGAAGGAUUAGUGUUGGGUAGUAAGGGGUAGCCAUGAAUUCUAACUAAUCUUUAAAAAUUGUACAUUAAUGAUAAUCUUGCUAUCCAAGAAAAUGAAUGUUUGAGAAUUCUUCAAAUUCAUACAAGUGGCAGCCAUGUUUUGGCUUGGGUGGUUGAUGAAUUUGCUGGUAUGAAUAGAGGAAGGUAUCAAUUUUAAUAGCUCAAUGAAUUAAAUAAAAUUUUUAAAUAAUUUGAUUACUAAAAAUAAUUAAUGGUAUAAUUUAUCCAAAUUAAAAAAAAAAUUGAUUGCUAAACUAUUAUUUUUGGUGAUGACAAUCAAUUUUGUUUUUUUUUUUUCUUUUAAUUGGGAGGACAAUGGAGUUGCUUGACAUCAAAUCUAAGCUUUCAUGCUUGUAAAAUAACACUCUUUCCACUAGAUAAAGAGAUUAUUGACAAUCAAUUUUAAUUUUUAAGACGCGAACAGGAGAUUUAACUACUACUCCCAUUCUGAUUUGAAUACUUGUUCUUAAUGAAUCAUACUAUACAGAUUUUGAAACAAGAUAGAAUCCAGGACACAACACUAUACAAGCAUACUGGGUUUAUUCUCAUGGAAAACAUAGGUUGAAAGCUAAAGGAGCAAAAAAGCUUUUAAAUCUUUGGGAAGCAUAUUUGUAUACUCCACCACCUAAAAAAUAGAGUUGAGAUUUUGUAAACCAACUACAUUUGAAUAGUGCAGGAUCGUAUGUAUCUUCCAUAAGUUUUGUUUUUUCCUCAAUGGCAUCCCUCCCGUCUCUGGGAACAUCUUAGACGACUAUCCAUCCAACGGUCCCACCAGAACAAUUCAUCCCUUCCAUUGCCCACCAACCAUCGUCAACAAUUGGAAAUGUUGCUCAUUCUGCAAAUUUAUCAGACCCCACCAUCUUACUCCAAUUAAGAGACCGGGGCAACCACUUCAAUGAUUUUUAAGCAUGUGUCGAUUACUACUUUGAAAGCAUUUAGUCAAUCUUCCUUUGAGUUGGGGUUUUGGUAGCUUUCUAGUUCAGAUUCAAGUUUUAUUAAGGACAAUUGUCAUGUGUGAUUUUCUUUUUAAAGAUUAUUGCACUUAAAUCUUAUUAUGUGUAAUUUUUAUUCUGAUUUAUUCUGAUUUAAAUUCGAAUAUAUUUUAGCUUUUAGUUUGUUGUGCUUUGUAUUGAAUUAAUUUUAGUUUUAGUGGAUUAAAUAUGUAUUAUUUAUCUACGACUUAGUUUAAAAAUUACUAAAAAUCUUUUAUUUUUAUAAAGUAACAAGUAUUAAUAUGAGAGUAUUUUUAUCUUUUCAUAUUUUUUUAAUAAAAUAAUAUACAUAAUAAAAUUUGGACUUGAAACACAUGAAUUUUUUAACUUUGAACUUAAUCAUUUUAACCAAAGCCUUAGUUGAAUUUAAUAUAAUUUUUUAUAAAUAUAUAUUUUUAUUUAAUUUUUCACCCACAUUGUGAAUAUGCUACAGUUUAAUAAUUUGUAAUGUAUUAAUAAAUUUCUUAAUUUUUUUAGUUUAAUUGAAUUUGGAUUGAAUUAUAUUUCUACUUGUAGGUUGAAUUAAGAUUAUAAAUAAUUAAAAACCCCAUGUGAUGGUCUAAUGGUUAAUGGUUAAGGGUGUUCAUUAUCUAAAGUGUAACUUGGGUUCAAGCGUGGCUUGGAUUCGAGUCGUACUAGUCACAUUAGUUGUUUAAAUUUUAACCUGUUAAUUUACAGAAAAAAAAAUAUAAAAAAUUAAAUAAAUAGCGGUUAAGAUAAUGGAUCAAUGUCAUGUAUAUUAUUUGAAUAAAAUUAAUAACAUUUACACUGUUAUAAAAAAAAGACCAGAAGUAUUUAUUAAUGCAAUAAUACAAAGUAACAAGUAAGACAAAAACUUGUAUAGGACACAUAUUAAAAACACAUUAGAUUGCUAUAACACCUCAAACAUAGUAUGACACGUAAAAGAGACACAAACAUACGCUAUGGAUUGCUAGAUGAUAUAGAUUCUUAAUUCCUUAAUAAGAGGCUGAGAUUGGAUCAAUGAGCAAAGAAGUUAUCCCAUCUUUUGUAUUUUUCCCAACAUGUGUGUACCCAUCUCCAUUCUUGUAAAUGAAAUCGAGGACCCUUGUAAGAUUGAGAAUUCGUGUAAGAACUGGCCUUGGAACAACUUUGGAUAUCUCACUAAAUAUCAAUUCCUGGUUUAUAUCUUUCCAAGCAUUCUCCACUUGCUUCAUCAAUUCCCUACAUGCUUCUUCUUCUGAAACCGCAUGUUCUCUCAUGUAGCAUUCAACAGCCGAUGCACACUGCCCUCUCUCUUGCUCAAACUAUAUAUUUAUAUUAGUUUUAUUCAUCAAAUAUAAGUUAUUGAAAAUAAUCUUGCAAAAUUCGAAAAAAGGUACCUUGUGUGAAGUAACAUCAUUUAAGAGACGAGCAAUAAUGGAAGAAGCAUCAAUGAUUUUAGGGUUGUUAGAUGCCCAAUUAAAAAUCUCAGGUGUCACAAAAUCUCCCAUUCCAACAAAAGAUGUGACGAUUAACAUGAUAUAACCAGCAGAUACAACUGCGUUUCUCAUAUACUCCUUCAUUGUUGGAACAUAGUUUUCAUUACACCAUUUCGCCUCCACAAAAUAAGAUUCGGACAGUUGUUUAAACUAUGAAAAGGGAAAAAAUAAUAAUAAAAGGAAGUCAUUACCUUUAGGUCAUA